AAGACUGAUGUGGAACAUAGCUCUCCCAUCACACCGACCUCGUCGGAAAAAUUGAGAAAUAUGGGUUGGAAGCCAAGGAAAUUGGAGGAGACGCUCCUGGAUAGCGUCGAAUACUACCAGAAGACGGGGCUUCUGCAGGAUGCCGAGGGAGAGGGAUACCCAUGCCACCUUCCUGAAAUGUUCAGCUUUUUUCAUGCCGACGAGUAAUAAAAUCGAGUGUGGUAGUGGUGGGUGCCGGUGCUCGUACAUAUGCCAUUGUGCUUGUGAAAAUGUCGAAUGGUACGUAUCUCCGGUGACCAUCCCAGGAGACAGGAGUGGAAGUGGUUAGACGAUGGUGCCCUCAAUGUAAAAUAUUCGAUUUCGUAAAUGUUUAUAUGUUUUAAGUGAGCUUGGUCAAAUAUUAAACAAGUUUGACCUUGGAAAUAAUUAAGUUGGAAAGGAGGGGGUAUGUAUGUGCAUUGUUAUGUCUACUCCCCGCAAACUCCGAACAUUAUUAUUACUAGCAAAAGGGUCCGUGCGUUGCAACAGGAUAAAAAAAAUACCACAUGCUUUUAAUUGUUUUAUUAAAAUAAUAAGCUAACUAACUAUUGUAGUCAGUCCUAUCCUAUUUUGUUGAAAAAUUAACCCGUCCAUUGUUAAUUUCACCAUGAUGAGAAAUUGAGCGGGACAAGCAAAGCAAAACAAGGAAGCUACGUGAAUUGAUCAAGGGACUGUUAUCUUAUUUCACUCAUGGGGUAGAGAAUGUGGGAUGAGAUGACAAACUGAAGGUGGUGUUCCAUUCUCUCUCUCUACAACAAUGCAAUCUUACAUGCAAUACAUUCAUUCAUCAGCAAACAAAUUCUCACAAAACAAAAUUUCUUGCCGGUGCUUGGCACACGGUUCGAGGCAUGGGGAGGGGAUCUCACCAGAUGAUGAGUUCCUGCCGGAGGAGGGGAUACGAUGAGGGGAGCAAGGGUUAGGCGCCUCUAUCUGGCCAUAAGGAGUCGCCGUUGUCGCGCCAUAACCUCGGAGUUCCACGUGUGAGCCAUGGAGGUCCGCCUCCACCUGCAAGUACUUCGCUCCGCCGCGCCUUAUCCGCGCGCCGCCGCCAUUCUGCAUCGAGCAGACGCAUCAUCCAAGUCGUUGUAGCUGUCGCGUUGAUUUGAUCCAGAAGCUGUNNNNNNNNNNNNNNNNNNNNNNNNNNNNNNNNNNNNNNNNNNNNNNNNNNNNNNNNNNNNNNNNNNNNNNNNNNNNNNNNNNNNNNNNNNNNNNNNNNNNCAUACCGAAGGACAAAGGGAAUGACAUACGGGAUUAUAUGAAUCCUUGGCACUGAGGUUCAAACGAUAAGACCUUCGUAGAAUAUGUAGGAUCUAAUAUGGGCAUCCAGGUCCCGCUAUUGGAUAUUGACCGAGGAGUCUCUCGGGUCAUGUCUACAUAGUUCUCGAACCCGCAGGGUCUGCACACUUAAGGUUCGACGUUGUUUUAUGCGUAUUUGAGUUAUAUGGUUGGUUACUGAAUGUUGUUCGGAGUCCCGGAUAAGAUCACAGACGUCACGAGGGUUUCCGGAAUGGUCCGGAAACGAAGAUUGAUAUAUAGGAUGACCUCAUUUGAUUACCGGAAGGUUUUCGGAGUUACCGGGAAUGUACCGGGAAUGACGAAUGGGUUCCGGGAGUUCACCGGGGGGGGGGGGCAACCCACCCCGGAGAAGCCCAUAGGCCUUGAGGGGGGCACACCAGCCCUUAGUGGGCUGGUGGGGCAGCCCAAAAGGGCCCUAUGCGCCUAGGAAAGAAAAUCAAAGAGAAAGAAAAAAAAGGAGGAGGUGGGAAGGGAAGGAAGGACUCCCACCCACCAAACCAAGUCCAACUCGGUUUGGGGGGGGGGAGCCUUCCCCCUUGGACUCGGCCGACCCCCUUGGGGCUCCUUGAGCCCCAAGGCAAGGUCCCCUCCCUCCCACCUAUAUAUACGGAGGUUUUAGGGCUGAUUUGAGACGACUUUUCCACGGCAGCCCGACCACAUACCUCCACGAUUUUUCCUCUAGAUCGCGUUUCUGCGGAGCUCGGGCGGAGCCCUGCUGAGACAAGGUCAUCACCAACCUCCGGAGCGCCGUCACGCUGCCGGAGAACUCUUCUUNNNNNNNNNNNNNNNNNNNNNNNNNNNNNNNNNNNNNNNNNNNNNNNNNNNNNNNNNNNNNNNNNNNNNNNNNNNNNNNNNNNNNNNNNNNNNNNNNNNNCAUACCGAAGGACAAAGGGAAUGACAUACGGGAUUAUAUGAAUCCUUGGCACUGAGGUUCAAACGAUAANNNNNNNNNNNNNNNNNNNNNNNNNNNNNNNNNNNNNNNNNNNNNNNNNNNNNNNNNNNNNNNNNNNNNNNNNNNNNNNNNNNNNNNNNNNNNNNNNNNNNNNNNNNNNNNNNNNNNNNNNNNNNNNNNNNNNNNNNNNNNNNNNNNNNNNNNNNNNNNNNNNNNNNNNNNNNNNNNNNNNNNNNNNNNNNNNNNNNNNNNNNNNNNNNNNNNNNNNNNNNNNNNNNNNNNNNNNNNNNNNNNNNNNNNNNNNNNNNNNNNNNNNNNNNNNNNNNNNNNNNNNNNNNNNNNNNNNNNNNNNNNNNNNNNNNNNNNNNNNNNNNNNNNNNNNNNNNNNNNNNNNNNNNNNNNNNNNNNNNNNNNNNNNNNNNNNNNNNNNNNNNNNNNNNNNNNNNNNNNNNNNNNNNNNNNNNNNNNNNNNNNNNNNNNNNNNNNNNNNNNNNNNNNNNNNNNNNNNNNNNNNNNNNNNNNNNNNNNNNNNNNNNNNNNNNNNNNNNNNNNNNNNNNNNNNNNNNNNNNNNNNNNNNNNNNNNNNNNNNNNNNNNNNNNNNNNNNNNNNNNNNNNNNNNNNNNNNNNNNNNNNNNNNNNNNNNNNNNNNNNNNNNNNNNNNNNNNNNNNNNNNNNNNNNNNNNNNNNNNNNNNNNNNNNNNNNNNNNNNNNNNNNNNNNNNNNNNNNNNNNNNNUGUUGGAAUUAUGCCCUAGAGGCAAUAAUAAAUAUAGUUAUUAUUAUAAUUCCUGUAUCAAGAUAAUCGUUUAUUAUCCAUGCUAUAAUUGUAUUGAAUGAAUACUCAUUUACAUGUGUGGAUACAUAGACAAAACACUGUCCCUAGCAAGCCUCUAGUUGGCUAGCCAGUUGAUCAAAGAUAGUCAGUGUCUUCUGAUUAUAAACAAGGUGUUGUUGCUUGAUAACUGGAUCACGUCAUUAGGAGAAUCACGUGAUGGACUAGACCCAAACUAAUAGACGUAGCAUGUUGAUCGUGUCAUUUUGUUGCUACUGUUUUCUGCGUGUCAAGUAUUUGUUCCUAUGACCAUGAGAUCAUAUAACUCACUGACACCGGAGGAAUACUUUGUGUGUAUCAAACGUCGCAACGUAACUGGGUGACUAUAAAGAUGCUCUACAGGUAUCUCCGAAGGUGUUAGUUGAGUUAGUAUGGAUCAAUACUGGGAUUUGUCACUCCGUGUGACGGAGAGGUAUCUCGGGGCCCACUCGGUAAUACAACAUCACACACAAGCCUUGCAAGCAAUGUGACUUAGUGUAAGUUGCGGGAUCUUCUAUUACGGAAAGAGUAAAGAGACUUGCCGGUAAACGAGAUUGAAAUAGGUAUGCGGAUACUGACGAUCGAAUCUCGGGCAAGUAACAUACCGAAGGACAAAGGGAAUGACAUACGGGAUUAUAUGAAUCCUUGGCACUGAGGUUCAAACGAUAAGAUCUUUAUAGAAUAUGUAGGAUCCAAUAUGGGCAUCCAGGUCCCACUAUUGGAUAUUGACCGAGGAGUCUCUCGGGUCAUGUCUACAUAGUUCUCGAACCCGCAGGGUAUGCACACUUAAGGUUCGACGUUGUUUUAUGCAUAUUUGAGAUAUAUGGUUGGUUAUCGAAUGUUGUUCGGAGUCCCGGAUGAGAUCACGGACGUCACGAGGGUUUCCGGAAUGGUCCAGAAACGAAGAUUGAUAUAUAGGAUGACCUCAUUUGAUUACCGGAAGGUUUUCGGAGUUACCGGGAAUGUACCGGGAAUGACGAAUGGGUUCCGGGAGUUCACCGGGGGGGGGGGCAACCCACCCCGGAGAAGCCCAUAGGCCUUGAGGGUGGCACACCAGCCCUUAUUGGGCUGGUGGGGCAGCCCAAAAGGGCCCUAUGCGCCUAGGAAAGAAAAUCAAAGAGAAAGAAAAAAAAGGAGGAGGUGGGAAGGGAAGGAAGGACUCCCACCCACCAAACCAAGUCCAACUCGGUUUGGGGGGGGAGCCUUCCCCCUUGGACUCGGCUGACCCCCUUGGGGCUCCUUGAGCCCCAAGGCAAGGUCCCCUCCCUCCCACCUAUAUAUACGGAGGUUUUAGGGCUGAUUUGAGAUGACUUUUCCACGGCAGCCCGACCACAUACCUCCACGGNNNNNNNNNNNNNNNNNNNNNNNNNNNNNNNNNNNNNNNNNNNNNNNNNNNNNNNNNNNNNNNNNNNNNNNNNNNNNNNNNNNNNNNNNNNNNNNNNNNNCCGAAGGUGUUAGUUGAGUUAGUAUGGAUCAAGACUGGGAUUUGUCACUCCGUGUGACGGAGAGGUAUCUCGGGGCCCACUCGGUAAUACAACAGCACACACAAGCCUUGCAAGCAAUGUAACGUAGUGUAAGUUGCGGGAUCUUGUAUUACGGAACGAGUAAAGAGACUUGCCGGUAAACGAUAUUGAAAUAGGUAUGCGGAUACUGACGAUCAAAUCUCGGGCAAGUAACAUACCGAAGGACAAAGGGAAUAACAUACGGGAUUAUAUGAAUCCAUGGCGCUGAGGUUCAAACGAUAAGAUCUUCGUAGAAUAUGUUGGAUCCAAUAUGGGCAUCCAGGUCCCGCUAUUGGAUAUUGACCGAGAAGUCUCUCGGGUCAUGUCUACAUAGUUCUCGAACCCGUAGGGUCUGCACACUUAAGGUUCGACGUUGUUUUAUGCGUAUUUGAGUUAUAUGGUUGGUUACUGAAUGUUGUUCGGAGUCCCGGAUAAGAUCACAGACGUCACGAGGGUUUCCGGAAUGGUCCGGAAACGAAGAUUGAUAUAUAGGAUGACCUCAUUUGAUUACCGGAAGGUUUUCGGAGUUACCGGGAAUGACGAAUGGGUUCCGGGAGUUCACCGGGGGGGCAACCCACCCCGGGGAAGCCCAUAGGCCUUGAGGGAGGCACACCAGCCCUUAGUGGGCUGGUGGGACAGCCCACAAGUGCCCUAUGCGCCAUAGAGAUAAAAAUCAAAGAGAAAGAAAAAAAAAGGAGGAGGUGGGAAGGAAGGGGACUCCCUCCCACCAAACCAAGUCCAACUCGGUUUGGGGGGGGAGUCCUCCCCCCCUUGGCUCGGCCGAAUCCUUGGGGGGUCCUUGGACCCCAAGGCAAGGCCCCCCUCCCUCCUCCUAUAUAUAUGGAGCAAUUAGGGCUGAUUUGAGACGACUUUCUCACAGCUGCCCGACCACAUACCUCCAUAGUUUUUCCUCUAGAUCGCGUUUCUGCGGAGCUCGGGUGGAGCCCUGCUGAGACAAGGUCAUCACCAAUCUCCGGAGCGCCGUCAUGCUGCCGGAGAACUCUUCUACCUCUAUGUCUCUCUUGCUGGAUCAAGAAGGCCGAGAUCAUCGUCGAGCUGUACGUGUGCUGAACGCGGAGGUGCCGUCCGUUCGGUACUAGAUCGUGGGACUGAUCGCGGGAUUGUUCGCGGGGCGGAUCGAGGGACGUGAGGACGUUCCACUACAUCAACCGCGUUCUCUAACGCUUCUGCUGUAUGGUCUACAAGGGUACGUAGAUCAUUCAUCCCCUCUCGUAGAUGGACAUCACCAUGAUAGGUCUUCGUGCGCAUAGGAAAAUUUUUGUUUCCCGUGCGACGUUCCCCAACAUCAACACCACUUGUGAAGACUUUGGCAACUACUGAACGUGCACCUCUGCCCAGCCCCAGCAAAAUCAUCGCAGUCCCAUCUGCAUCAGAGGGAAGUGAUGAUUAUGACGAUGAAACCCUGCAAGCCAUCAUCAGAAACAAGCAAGAAAGGGUAGCACAAGCAUCAAGCAGUGCUAUUCCUCUGGCCAUGGACCCCAAAGUCCUCCUCGACUACAUCAAUAUAUGGCAUGAGAACCCAAACACUCCCAUUGAUGAUUUGAAACUUCCUCCUGGCAUCAGCCACAUGGUGGCCACCUUCAUAAAUGAAGCCAAGUGGAAAGAACAGCAGGCAAGGCAGGAAAAAGUUGCAAAGGCCAAAAAGGAGAAAUUCCUCAGGCAGAAUCUCCUCAAGCUGACUCCUGAUGCACUGGUGUCAACCCAGGCAGAGCUGCAAGUACUGACUGACAAGUACGCCAAGCUGUCAGAUCGCAAAAGCAUCAGGAGCAAUUUCAUCAAGCUAGCCACUAGUGUUGUUGAUGACUACAACAAGAGAACCGCACCCCCAGCACCAACUCCUCAGCCCUUGGUUGAGCAGCCAGCAGAUGCAUCUCCUGAUGAGGAGGAAACUCCUCAAGCUGAGGAAGAACACCAAGAGCACCGUGUUGAUGAACCGGCCAUUGAAGAAAUCAUCACAGAAACUGCAACUGAUGAAAUUGCAACCACUGAUGAGACUGCUCCUGAUCCAGCUGCUUCAUCAAAGCAGGCUGAUGACUCUGUUCCUGCUGGUUCCUCACUACCAGCUGAAGAAUCUGCAGAAAGAACACCUUCACCAAAAGCUUCAAAAGUGAAGAAGAUAAUUCCGUCUGCAUCAGACGUGAAGAAAACUAGGGCUGCUGAAAAGGAAGCAAAGAAGAGAAAAGCCUCCUCAGCAGUAGAAGAGACAGAGGCAAAGCGCCUCAAAGAAACUGAAGAAACUGCUCCUCUGGACCCAGUGCCUCUCAAUGUUGCCCAUUCCUACGAGAUGGUUGUCAUUAAUGACCCAGCAACAAGGGUAGAUGAGGAAAUGAAGGAUGUUGCCUCUGAGGAACACACUGAUGAGGAAAUCCAGAUAGAUGACAGUCUUCAACCUCUUAUUCCUCAGACAGAGACUGCUCAAGCAUCAGCUGCACCAGCUGAUGAAACUGCUUCUGCCACAAAGCCAGCUGAAGAAAAACAUGCUGAGGAAAAUGUACAUUCUGAGCAGACUCCUCAAGAUGAGGAACAGACUGACCCAACUCCUCAAAAUGAGAAAGAGGCAGAAAUUCCACAGCCUGAAGCUCAGCCAGAGCAAGCAUCAUCUCCCCAGCAAGAAGUACCAGCUGAUGAAAUUUCUCAACUUGAGGAAAAUGCUGAAGAAAAUGUACCCGCCCAAGACAAUGAAUUCAUUGUGCUCAACCCAGAGACUGCCACUGUUGUCUCCCCCCCAUUCCUCAGCAAAAUCUCAAGCCAGUUCAGCGUCAGCCCUUCUCCAAGCGUCCAAAGUUUCAGAAAGAAAAUUUCUUUGAGGAACGCAUGUAUUUCAUCGGAGAGAACCCUUAUGACAAGCCUCAAAUGAGGCAUCUGAAGUUUUGGACAAGGACUCAGAUGAACUACUAUGCCUCUGUACUCUGUGGACGCAACAAGAUAUUCCAGCGCAUGCACAUUCCUCAUGUUGAGCUUGAAGAAAUACCUUGCAUGGAACCAGUCCUCAGUGUACUCCACGAUGCAGGUUUGCUUCCUAUGUGCUCCGACAUAUCAGACUGGAACAGUGAGCUUAUUCUUCAGUUCUAUGCCACUCUUCAUAUAUCUGGCAACCCUGAAGACAUCAACACUUGGGUGUUUGAUUGGAUGACACAAAACACUCACUACAAGGCUCCUGCUUCUGAACUCCUCAGAGAACUGCCCGUACCAAUUCCCUCAGAUGGGGCAGUGAAGCUUUAUGGUGAGUGUGAGCUGCCAAAUGGAAUGAUGGAAGUCCUCAUGAAGCCUUUGGCUGCAGGAAAGCCCUCAAGAACCACAUUCCUCGUCCAUGAGCUCAAGUACACACCCCGCUCUGUCUAUAGAAUCCUCUGCAAUGUGCUCGCGCCAAUCAAAGGCCAUGACGAUGAAGAAGAUGUUGUAGGCCUCAUGAAGAAUAUCCUCUUCAACAUCAUUCACGGUAUUCCUAUUAAUAUCCAUGAUUUCUUCUUGAGGACUUUGGCUGACAAUGCAAUGUGCCCAUAUGAUCACAAGAUUUAUGCCCCGUGGAUCAUGAGAUUCAUCAGGACAAGGACAGGCAUCAACUUCCACGCUGAUUUCCAAAACCACAUGGGUUAUAUGCCUCCUAUCCGGGUCAACAAGAAGACUUUCGAGCCCAUCGAAGGAAAAGGAAAAUCUGUGAUUGAAGAAGGCAGCAGGCCCCUUGAUGGCCAGUUCAAAGAGCCAGAAGCAUAUUCUUCAUGGGACGAUACUGAGACUCGUCCAGCAAGCCCUGUUCCUCCUCGCGUGCUGAACACCAGAGAGCUCCUCCUCAGUCUUCACCAGAAGGUGGAUCACAACCACAAAUGGGUCAAACGCCAGUUUGGUGCCAUUGUGAAAACCCUCACUGAGACUCAGAACUCUGUGAAGCUUAAUCAUCACUAUCCGCAUGAGGUUUUCGAUCGCACCUGGGCUACACUUGCACAUCUGAAGACCCAGACUGAGCUUGAAGAAAUGAACUUUGAGCAGGACUUUGAGUGGUUGUGGCCUCCCAAGAGAAAGUUCAGGCCCAUUCCAGUGCCAGACCUUGAAGACAGCUCCUUUUCUUCAUUCCGCACUGCUGAAUCUGAUGAGGAACAACUCGACACUGCAACCGGCCCCAGGAAGAAGACUACUCCCAAGAAGCAUCACGGCUCUUCCUCGACCGCCAAGAAAUGAAGUCUUCAUGGGCGUUAGUCCUCAGUUUGUCCCUUUUUGUCACUUGAUGACAAAGGGGGAGAAACUCGAGAGUUACUCUUCAAGCGGGAAAUUUUGGGGCUUAUAAACUAUAUUAUGUUACAAACUCUUGGCUCUUCUGAAGUUUUUUAUGUAAUGAGUUGUAACUUAAGCCCGAUGGUACCCUGACACUUUUGAACGCUUUUCUUCGCAUGCUUAUUCCUCAUGUUUUAAUGCACGCAUGCUGGAAUUCGUCAGAUACCAUUUGCCAUCAUGCAUCUUCAUUUUCUUCAUAUGAUAUGUUAUAUGUAUGCAUGAUUUACAAGACUCAGGGGGAGAUCUCCAUGAUAUAAAUCAUCAAUGUGCAUUUCCUAUAAAAGCAAAAUCAUCAAGGUAUGCACAUCUUCAAGGGGAGUCUCUCUGAAUCUUGUUUUCGAAUUCCUCAAAUGAGUAUUUACACUUCACGUUUUUGAUCCCUGUUGAAGACUUAACCUAAUUUUCAUCAACCACCAAAAAGGGGGAGAUUGUAAGUGCAUCUAGUGCCCCUUAGUGACUUUGGUGGUUUGAAGACUUAUAGGUUAAGUAUCUAAUGUGUUUGUGANNNNNNNNNNNNNNNNNNNNNNNNNNNNNNNNNNNNNNNNNNNNNNNNNNNNNNNNNNNNNNNNNNNNNNNNNNNNNNNNNNNNNNNNNNNNNNNNNNNNGCGUGCAAGUGACUUGUUGGAAAUCAUACAUACCGAUGUGUGUGGUCCAAUGAGCGUGGAGGCACGCGGCGGAUAUCGUUAUUUCCUCACCUUCACUGACGAUUUAAGUAGAUAUGGUUAUGUCUACUUGAUGAAGCACAAGUCUGAAACAUUUGAAAAGUUCAAGCAAUUUCAGAGUGAAGUGGAAAAUCAUCGUAACAAGAAGAUCAAGUUCCUACGGUCUGAUCAUGGGGGUGAAUAUCUGAGUUUCGAGUUUGGUGCUCACUUAAGACAAUGUGGAAUUGUUUCGCAGUUAACACCGCCUGGAACACCACAGCGUAAUGGUGUGUCCGAACGUCGUAAUUGUACUUUGUUAGAGAUGGUGCGAUCUAUGAUGUCUCUUACUGAUUUGCCGUUAUCAUUUUGGGGUUAUGCAUUAGAAACAGCUGCAUUCACUUUAAAUAGGGCACCAUCAAAAUCUGUUGAGACGACACCAUACGAACUGUGGUAUGGCAAAAGGCAAAAGUUGUCGUUUCUUAAAGUUUGGGGAUGUGAUGCUUAUGUCAAAAAGCUUCAGCCUGAAAAGCAGGAACCCAAAGCGGAAAAAUGCGUCUUCAUAGGCUACCCAAAAGAGACAGUUGGGUACACCUUCUAUCUCAAAUCCGAGGGCAAAGUGUUUGUUGCUAAGAACGGAGCUUUUCUCGAGAAGGAGUUUCUCUCGAGAGAAUUGAGUGGGAGGAAGAUAGAACUUGAUGAGGUUGUCGAACCUCUCAUCCCUCUGGAUGGUGGCGCAGGGCAAGGGGAAACCUCUGUCAUUGCGACGCCGGUUGAGGAGGAAGUUAAUGAUGAUGAUCAUGAAACUCCAGUUCAAGUUUCUGUUGAACCACGCAGGUCGACGAGAUCACGCGCUGCUCCAGAGUGGUACGGUAAUCCCGUCUUAUCAAUCAUGUUGUUAGACAACAAUGAACCUGCAAAUUAUGAAGAAGCAAUGGUGGGCUCAGAUUCCAACAAAUGGCUUGAAGCCAUGAAAUCCGAGAUAGGAUCCAUGUAUGAGAACAAAGUGUGGACUUUGGAGAUACUACCUGAGGGCCGCAAGGCUAUUCAGAACAAAUGGAUCUUUAAGAAGAAGACGGACGCUGACGGUAAUGUGACCGUUUAUAAAGCUCGACUUGUGGCAAAGGGUUUUUCACAAGUUCCAGGAGUUGACUAUGAUGAGACUUUCUCACCCGUAGCGAUGCUUAAGUCCGUCAGAAUCAUGUUAGCAAUAGCUGCAUUUUUCGAUUAUGAAAUCUGGCAGAUGGAUGUCAAAACGACGUUCCUUAACGGUUUCCUUAAGGAAGAGUUGUAUAUGAUGCAACCCGAAGGUUUUGUCGAUCCUAAAAAUGCUGACAAGGUGUGCAGGCUCCAGCGAUCCAUUUAUGGACUGGUGCAAGCAUCUCGGAGUUGGAACAAACGCUUUGAUGAGGUGAUCAAAGCAUUUGGGUUUAUAGAAGUGGUUGGAGAAUCUUGUAUUUACAAGAAAGUGAGUGGGAGCUCUGUGGCGUUUCUAAUACUAUAUGUGGAUGACAUAUUACUGAUUGGAAACAACAUAGAGCUUUUGGAGAGCAUAAAAGGUUACUUGAAUAAAAGUUUCUCUAUGAAGGACCUAGGAGAAGCUGCUUACAUUCUAGGCAUUAAGAUCUAUAGGGAUAGAUCAAAACGCCUGAUAGGACUUUCACAAAGCACAUACCUUGAUAAAGUUUUGAAGAGGUUCAAAAUGGAAUAGUCCAAGAAAGGGUUCUUGCCAGUGUUACAAGGUACGAGAUUGAGUAAGACUCAGUGCCCAGCAACUGAUGAAGAUAGAGAGCAUAUGCGCUCCGUCCCCUAUGCUUCAGCCAUAGGUUCUAUCAUGUAUGCGAUGUUGUGCACUAGACCGGAUGUUAGCCUGGCCAUAAGUAUGGCAGGCAUGUUCCAGAGUAAUCCAGGAGUGGAUCACUGGACAGCGGUCAAGAAUAUCCUGAAGUACCUGAAAUGGACUAAGGAGAUGUUUCUCGUGUAUGGAGGUGACGAAGAGCUCGCCGUAAAAGGUUACGUCGAUGCAAGCUUUGACACAGAUCCGGACGACUCUAAGUCGCAAACCGGAUACGUAUUUAUUCUUAAUGGGGGUGCAGUAAGCUGGUGCAGUUCCAAGCAAAGCGUCGUAGCAGAUUCUACAUGUGAAGCGGAGUACAUGGCUGCCUCGGAGGCGGCUAAGGAGGGUGUCUGGAUGAAGCAGUUCAUGACGGAUCUUGGAGUGGUGCCAAGUGCACUGGAUCCAAUAACCUUGUUCUGUGACAACACUGGUGCCAUUGCCUUAGCAAAGGAACCACGGUUUCACAAGAAGACCAGACACAUCAAACGACGCUUCAACCUCAUCCGCGACUACAUCGAGGAGGAGGACGUAAAUAUAUGCAAAGUGCACACGGAUCUGAAUGUAGCAGACCCGCUAACUAAACCUCUUCCACGGCCAAAACAUGAUCGACACCAGAACUGUAUGGGUGUUAGAUUUAUUACAAUGUAAUUCACAUGGUGAUGUGAGGGCUAGAUUAUUGACUCUAGUGCAAGUGGGAGACUGUUGGAAUUAUGCCCUAGAGGCAAUAAUAAAUGUAUAGUUAUUAUUAUAAUUCCUGUAUCAAGAUAAUAGUUUAUUAUCCAUGCUAUAAUUGUAUUGAAUGAAGACUCAUUUACAUGUGUGGAUACAUAGACAAAACACUGUCCCUAGCAUGCCUCUAGUUGGCUAGCCAGUUGAUCGAUGAUAGUCAGUGUCUUCUGAUUAUGAACAAGGUGUUGUUGCUUGAUAACUGGAUCACGUCAUUGGGAGAAUCACGUGAUGGACUAGACCCAAACUAAUAGACGUAGCAUGUUGAUCGUGUCAUUUUGUUGCUACUGUUUUCUGCGUGUCAAGUAUUUGUUCCUAUGACCAUGAGAUCAUAUAACUCACUGACACCGGAGGAAUACUUUGUGUGUAUCAAACGUCGCAACGUAACUGGGUGACUAUAAAGAUGCUCUACAGGUAUCUCCGAAGGUGUUAGUUGAGUUAGUAUGGAUCAAGACUGGGAUUUGUCACUCCGUGUGACGGAGAGGUAUCUCAGGGCCCACUCGGUAAUACAACAUCACACACAAGCCUUGCAAGCAAUGUAACUUAGUGUAAGUUGCGGGAUCUUGUAUUACGGAACGAGUAAAGAGACUUGCCGGUAAACGAUAUUGAAAUAGGUAUGCGGAUACUGACGAUCGAAUCUCGGGCAAGUAACAUACCGAAGGACAAAGGGAAUGACAUACGGGAUUAUAUGAAUCCUUGGCACUGAGGUUCAAACGAUAAGAUCUUCGUAGAAUAUGUUGGAUCCAAUAUGGGCAUCCAGGUCCCGCUAUUGGAUAUUGACCGAGAAGUCUCUCGGGUCAUGUCUACAUAGUUCUCGAACCCGCAGGGUCUGCACACUUAAGGUUCGACGUUGUUUUAUGCGUAUUUGAGUUAUAUGGUUGGUUACCGAAUGUUGUUCAGAGUCCCGGAUGAGAUCACGGAAGUCACGAUUGUUCGGAGUCCCGGAUGAGAUCACAGACGUCACGAGGGUUUCCGGAAUGGUCCGGAAAUGAAUAUUGAUAUAUAGGAUGACCUCAUUUGAUUAUCGGAAGGUUUUCGGAGUUACCGGGAAUUUACCGGGAAUGACGAAUGGGUUCCGGGAGUUCACCGGGGGGGGGGGCNNNNNNNNNNNNNNNNNNNNNNNNNNNNNNNNNNNNNNNNNNNNNNNNNNNNNNNNNNNNNNNNNNNNNNNNNNNNNNNNNNNNNNNNNNNNNNNNNNNNNNNNNNNNNNNNNNNNNNNNNNNNNNNNNNNNNNNNNNNNNNNNNNNNNNNNNNNNNNNNNNNNNNNNNNNNNNNNNNNNNNNNNNNNNNNCCUCCCACCAAACCAAGUCCAACUCGGUUUGGGGGGGGAGUCCUCCCCCCUUGGACUCGGCCGACCCCCUUGGGGCUCCUUGAGCCCCAAGGCAAGGUCCCCUCCCUCCCACCUAUAUAUACGGAGGUUUUAGGGCUGAUUUGAGACGACUUUUCCACGGCAGCCCGACCACAUACCUCCACGGUUUUUCCUCUAGAUCGCGUUUCUGCGGAGCUCGGGCGGAGCCCUGCUGAGACAAGGUCAUCACCAACCUCCGGAGCGCCGUCACGCUGCCGGAGAACUCUUCUACCUCUUCGUCUCUCUUGCUGGAUCAAGAAGGCCGAGAUCAUCGUCGAGCUGUACGUGUGCUGAACGCGGAGGUGCCGUCCGUUCGGUACUAGAUCGUGGGACUGAUCGCGGGAUUGUUCGCGGGGCGGAUCGAGGGACGUGAGGACGUUCCACUACAUCAACCGCGUUCACUAACGCUUCUGCUGUACGGUAUACAAGGGUACGUAGAUCACUCAUCCCCUCUCGUAGAUGGACAUCACCAUGAUAGGUCUUCGUGCGCGUAGGAAAUUUUUUGUUUCCCAUGCGACGUUCCCCAACAUACGGAUCCACUCUCGUCUCCCCUUCCGUCCUCAGAAAGGUCGCAAGCUCCUCUGCAACAGCAAUCGCGCGUUGCUCUGGUAGGACCUUCGUCCUAAUGGCCGUGUACUAUAUAAGAAGAGGAGAUGAAUAUGAAUAUCAAUCAUGAUAACAAAGAAUGACGGGUAAAAAUAGAGGUGUGAAUGUUCAUUGCUUAUGUCGAAUCUGUGAUCCUUGUGCUCAGAGGUAAACGUGCGAAUGGUCUCGUAAACAUAGUAUCCGCAUAGAUGCGUUCCCCGUGGCUGCUGGUCGCACUUUACGAGAAUAGAAUAUAUAUAAUCAAAAUAAUAAUCUAGCAUCAUAAAUGUAUUGAAAAUAGAAGUAUAUCAUACUACUACUUACCUGAGCCGCUCUAAAGGUCAGCUUCUCAGGAAAGUUACCGGGAGUCACGCACUUGAACCGCUUCCAAACCCUGCCCGACAAGGAUAAUGAUUUGCUAAGUUUUUCAUUAAUUGAUAUAUCAGAAAAUCAUCCGGAGGGGUUUAGAUAUGAAGACGGAGAUUCAGCUGGUUCAACGUCGGGGCCGUCUUUGAUUAUAUCUUCGAGAAGUUCUUCCUCUUCGAGGUUCCUGAUAUGUGGAUCCAUAGUUCUGCAAAAAACGGGCAUUUGAUUAACUAAUAAACUAACAAACUAUAUAAGAGGGGUUGGAAACAUCGAAGUGUCGUUUUAUAUAGGAGGACCUUUAGUCUCGGGUCUUGGCUAGAACCUAAACACUAAAAUACCAGCCGGGCGGAGCCCAGUCCGGGACACUUAAGCAUAUACAAUAGCAAAAUUAAACUAGUUCUAUUAAUUUUCUUGCUAAAAAUAAACUAUUAACACUUAAGCAUAUACAAUAGCAAAAUUAAACUAUUAACACUUAAGCAUAUACAAUAGCAAAAUUAAGCAAUAAUCUAAGAAACACUAUUAACACUUAAGCAUAUACACCAUACAAUAGCAAAAUUAAAUGACAAAAAAAAUAUUUCUUCUUCUUGUAACCCUAAACUAAUUUUUCCUCUUCUUCUAUUUCUCCUCUUCUUCUACUUCUUCUUCUACUUCUACUUCUCCUCUUCUUCUACUACUUCUCCUCUUCUCUUCUUCUACUUCUCCUCUCCUCCUCUUCUAAUUUUUUCUCUUCUUCUACUUCUCCUCUUCUUUCUAUUUUUCCUCUUCUUCUCCUCUCCUCCUCUUCUUAUUCUCCUUUUUCUUCUUUUCUUCUCCUCCUCUUCUUAUUUUCCUUUUUCCUAAUUCUACAUAUUACUAACCCUAAUAAUCUAGAACAAACCUAAUAACAAUAGGAAUUAAAUGACAAAAAAAAUCUUUUUCUUCUUUUCUUCCCUUUUUCUUCCUUUCUUCUCCUUUUUCUUCCUUUCUUCUCCUUUUUCUUCUUUUCUUCCCUUUUUCUUCUUUUCUUCUCCUUCCCUUUUUCUUCAUUUCUUCUCCUUUUUCUUCCUUUCUUCUCCUUUUUCUUCCUUUCUUCUCCUUUUUCUUCUUUUCUUCUCCUUUUUCUUCUUUUCUUCUACUGGCCGGAGUGUUGGGGAGGAGGGGGCGGGGGGCUUACCGGCCGGAGGUGUCGACGGCGCGCGGCGAGGAGGACGGCGGCGCGCGGCGAGGAGGACGGCAGGCACGCGGCGAGGAAUGCGGCGGCGCACGGCGAGGAGGACGGCGACGCGCGGCGAGGAAUGCGGCGGCGCGCGGCGAGGAGGACGGCAGGCGGCGGCGAGCAGGACGGCGGGCAGCCUGACGGCGUCGUCGAGUUCGUCGCUGUGCCGCGCCGGGCAGGAGAACGAGGAAGAAGGAGAGAAGGAAAUGCGAUUUGGGUUGGAAAUUUUCUAACUCCCGCUUAUAUAGGUGGACCUUUAGUCCCGGUUCGGGGCUCGAACCGGGACUAAAGACCCCCUUUACUCCCAGGUGGAGCCACGACCCGGGACUAAAGGCCCUUUUUGGUAGACCAGAAGGCGGGAAGCAGGGGCCUUUAGUCCCGGUUUGUGGCAAGAACCGGGACUAAAGGUUAGGCUAUUAGUCCCGGUUUUAGACAAAAGCCGGGACUAAAGUGUUGCCUAUAUAAACCCUCGCCCCUGCCCACCAUCUCCCCUGUUUUUUGGUUGUUGAAGUGUGACCAUGCCAUGCUCUUGCCACUCUAGUUCAUGCACAUGACGUGUUCGAUGAAAUGCCCGAGCCACUCUACUUAAGCUUUCUCCUCUCCAAGCUCGACCUCCAAGCUCCAUUUUCCUUAAUAUUUUUUUAGGUUUGGCCGUGCACCAACUGCACAAGUGUUUUAAAAGGUUAGCUACUUCAUCCUUUCAUUUGUCACUGCUAGUGUAGCUCAUUUCAAAUGCUCAAAUUAACUUCUUAGAGUCUGCACAUGCGUAGGGUGUCGUCCCGUGCCCGUCCUCACCAUUGUCGAUCGCCCCGCGCCCCUCUUUAUUUCUGAACAGACGUUUCAACCGUGGUAUUAUAGGAGCAUACCACAUCACCUUGGCAGGAACCCUCUUCCUGGGUGGCUCGCCCUCAAUAUCACCAGGGUCAUCUUUUCUGAUCUUAUACCGCAAUGCAGUGCAUACCGGGCAUUUAUCCAUAUUCUCGUACUUCUCACCGCGGUAGAAGAUGCAGUCAUUAGGGCAUGCAUGUAUCUUCUGCACGUCUAAUCCUAGAGGGCAGACAAGCUUCUUUGCUUCGUACGUGCCGGCGGGCAAUUCGUUCUCUCUUGGAAGCAUCUUCUUCAUCAGUACCAGCAACUUUUCGAAUGAUGAGUCAGUCACACCGGUCUCUGCCUUCCACUUCAGCAAUUCCAGUGUGCUACCCAGCUUCUUCUGGCCAUCUUCACAAGUUGGGUACAACAAUUUGUUGUGGUCCUGUAACAUCUGCUCGAACUGCAACCUCUCCUUUUCUGUGUCGCAACCUCGCCGUGCAUCAGAAAUGACCCGGCCAAGAUCAUCAGCGGGCUCAUCUGGUUCCCGUUCUUCAUCCUGAUCUUCUUCUUCAUUGUCUUCCAUUGCGGUAUCAGCAUACUCAGGGAACAUAGAUCGGUAGUUGUCACCAUCGUUCUCUUCUUCUUCAUCGUCGUGAUCCAUCAUAACCCCUCUUUCUCCGUGCUUGGUCCAAACAUUAUAGCCCGACAUAAAACCGGACCGAAGCAGGUGGCUCUGAAUGACUCUUGAGGAAGUGUAAUCCUUCUCAUUCCGACAUUCAACACAUGGACAAAACAUAUAGCCACCACCAUGCUUGUUUGCAUCGGAUGCAUCUCGAAAAGAAUGCACGCCUUCUCUGUAAGCGGCUGUGCGUCGAUCACCGUACAUCCAUGGAUGGCUCAUUUGUGUUAUACGACAGUAUAUCCAAUACAAUCACGAUCAUAAAAAUUAGUACCUCACGGUCUAAAUGAGGAAAUAUAGUUGCUAACCUUUUAGAAUAAGUAUAAAUAAAGAGGAAGAGGUUUAAGCGUGGCUCGGGCAUCUCAUAUCGUAGUUCUGUUCGGUGAACUGAAGCGGCAUCGCUCUAACACACAUUUCAACAAACACCUCUAGUGCAUCAAAAAAAGUGGAGAGCUAGCACACACCCACAAUCCUGCAUCCAAGAAAAAUGCAAGGAAGAGGGGAGAGGGGGGCUGUGCUAUAUAUAGGCAGAGGACUUUAGUCCCGGUUUGAGACACAAACCGGGACUAAAGGUGGCGCACAUGCGGGCUGCCCACCGCAUAGCCCUUUAGUCCCGGUUUGGGACACGAACCGGGACUAAAGGUUCCUUACGGGCCGGGACUAAAGCCUCGAGGGAGGCAUUGAGAAUUGGGGCGACGUGGCCGGGCCUUUAAUCCCGGUCCAGAGGCAGGCCGGGACUAAAGGGUCCCGGCCAAAGGCCCGUUUUCCACUAGACACACAGAAUUUACAUUUGGAGACCCUGACAAUAUUGUGGUUGGGACAUGGAAAGUACCCUUUUGCGCUCUAGCUCAAAUGCACCCGGGUGAACAGUAAAAUUUAAAUAAAUCAAAAACAUUUUAAAAAAUUCUGAAUUUUUUAUGAUGAACUUUCACAAAAGUUCUAAGUUCUUGCAAAUUUUUAUCAUGAUAUCACAUUCGUGUAAGGCGUGACAAAAAAACAAAAUUAAUGUUUCAAAAUGCUUUCGAAAGUAGCAUUUUCAAAGCAUCGUUUUGUUUCUUCAUCACCCCUUACUAAAACUAGUAAACUUACACGUGCACGCACGUAUGAAAUGUUGAACAAAUAAGAUACACGCCGGUAUAAAUGUUUUCAAAGAUAUAUAAAUUAAAUUGGUACACGAUGUUGUGACGCCACUGAAGUUGUAUAUCCAAAGUGAGCCAUCAUUGUAGUCAUGUUGCAGCAUAGAGACAAUAAUAUAUUUGUUCAUCUAUUUGGUCUCUAAUAGGUUGGAAAGAAGAACAUUAAAUCUAGUAAAAUCCUCCGAACUCCCAUAUUGCAAAAUAUAUUGUGUUACUGGAUAAGCUAAUUCCAAUAUGAUACUCUGAGUACACAUCAUAAAUUUAUCCCAAGAAAGAGAUCUGUUUGGAGAAGAAAACAGAACAACAAUUGUAUAAUAUAUAAUGUUGAUUCUUCCCUUUUUUCUUGACAACGGCAUGUAAAAUUUUCACAUCGACUCUGAGUAAAACUCUCCAUUCCCUAUGAUUCAUUCAAAUUGGAGGGCUCGUAAUUAUAAGUUGAAAUUGUGUUGUGGCAUCUAACGUGAGCGUACAAAAUGUCAUGAUAGAUAUCACUAAAUUCAUCUCGGACAUUGGUAAUUCAACUGUGCCGAACUGCCAAACUACAAAAUAAGUACAAAACCAUGGAAUGGAUGACAAUGUAUUCAAAAGGGAUUACACAUACUUGUAAAUUGUUGUUUAUAAUACCUACCACACCAUGGUCCGUGACUAAUAAGUCAGUCAUCAUCUAUUUUAGCAACAAAUACUAACUGUUUUAGCAAACUUGCAAUAGCACUACUAACUGUUUUAGCAAACUUGCAAUAGCACUGAUCACCAUCUAGAGGUCCUAGGCUGAAUUGAAUGGACAGUAGCCACCAGGACAACUCAUAGUUUAUAUUUGUUACCGACACUCAAUUGAGCAUUACGAGGCAAUCGAUCUCCAAGAUUAAUUUAUGUGUUCAUCCCUCAAUUGCCAAGACCAUCCCAUCGCGACACGCUUGUUCCUCCACAACAAUAGGGCCUAGAAGUUAUAACAUGAGGGCGAACUUCGAGUAUGCACUUGUCACACAUAUCGCCUUCAUUUGUCAUGGCGGCUUCUACUAAAAAAUAUGACAUUAAACAUCAUAUGCACAACGUCACAUGAUCUUUGUAAAAACACAAACCAGCUACAUAACACAUGGACAUCAGCACCUAACACGAAUAUGAUAUGCUUAUGUGGCCAUGGGCGUCUCUGUUUUGCAAAACACAUAUUAUGGUAACAGUAAUGAUAAUGAAACUGGGAUAAUGAUGACAAUUUAAUAGAAGCAUCAUGAGAAAGAGCAUUCCCCCACUACCAUACAUGAUCUAUAGUUUCCCUUCUAUCCUUGAAAUGACUCUUCGGUGCAGCUUAUACAGUGUAAAUACAACGAACAAUUGACAAAGCAAGCUAUCUGAAAGGAGUGUUUAAAAAUUAAGUUAGUAUAAAAGUUUGCAACUAUAGUGUCCAUGUUAGUGUCGCCUGAUUACCCAUGUCUCAGCUGACGAAAGCAUACAUUAUCCUUCCGAAGUAAGAUUAAGAUAAUAGUUAACUUUGACCAAGGAAGGACCUGACCUGAUGUUUUCCGGCUCUCACAAAUUUGAUAUGAUUAGCACUAGACAAAAACGAAUAGAUAUCACCAAGAUGAAAAUUUAGAGUAUGAGUAUCUCUAUAGACAGGGAAUUCAGUACUCGUACAUAAGAUAGCACUGCCAACAAUCUAACAAAGGUAAGGAAACCUUACCACACAAGACAAGCCAUCUUUGAGAUACAUCCUAAUUAAGGUGGAAUAGUUUCAGUCUCUGGUUGAAUGCUCAUGAGCUUAUUCGUUAGUACAUAGAAGCUAAUUUCCCUUAAGUAUCAGCGCAAUAUCAUAUUUGAGCUAAUUUCUCCAAGAAUAAUGGGAGUGCUCACUUUAGCAAUGAGAAUGAUUCUAGGUAGUAUUGCCCACUAUCUUUUGAACUUCUUCAGGAAUACAUUUGCGCAAUUGUCUGGCCGAGUGGAAAGGCUUAAGAUGAUUACUAACCCAAAAAAAAUUGUCAAACAAAAACAAUGAAAAAAAAUAGAUCAGGGACAGUGAACUGUUCCAAUAUAAUCAGGGGUCACAUUGCAAACUGAGACUGAAUUGCCAACCAGCAUGUAUGUCUUCUGUGAAUAUGAAACAAACCGAUGUUUUUCAUCAAUCAUAAAAGAAACUAAAAAUAAGGCAUGCGAUCUACCUCCAAUGAAUUACUAUGACAUUCUAAUUUUUUGUCUCCUAUGCUUGUUUGACUACUAAAUGCACUAUACAAAAUUAUGUGUAAACCUAAUAGUGAAUGAUUCUUAUAUAAAGCAAUGGAAUGCUGAUAUGGAAGGAAUACUAAUUUGUCAGCAUAAUCUAUGUUUGUGAACAAUGUUAUCAAUCUCGUCACAUAGGAUGACCUCUCACCAAAUGCUUGGUUGGUAAGAUAUUCACUGAAGGAUGGUUUUCUUCACUCUUCGGUGCAUAUAACUGAAAAAAUAGAACAGUAUAACAAAUUGCAUCAACUUGAACAAAGGAAAUGAAAUAUGAUCAUGAGCUGCAACAUAAGCCUGCAUCUCUUGCAUUCUUCAUACAAAUACUUUCCUGAAAGCCAGCUUGGAAGGACAAUCGUGGCACUUCUGUUGGUACUUGCUAUCUCCCCCAACUUGGAUUGUCGUGGCCGCCUCCCGUCGGGCCGACUUCUCUGCUCCACCGCUGAAGAGGGGCGGGGAAGGGGCUGCCAAGCCAUCGACGGUUGACUGAGGAGGAGCCGAGGAGCCCGACGCCCGUCAGACCUCAAUCACUCCGGCAAUCGGCUCCUUGUUCCAAUCCCAUAUGAUCCAAUCCCCUUACCAACACCCGGAGGGGCAGAAUGCUGCGAGGAACAAAUUCCACUCAUGGAAGGCGGACAUGGGAGGAGAGAGGCGGGGGAGCGGAGGAGAGGCGGCCGGGAAGGCCAGAGGAGUGAGGGAGCGGGGGGACGUGUGUGGGAAGUGUCAGCGAUGAGAGUAGGCAACUGACGAGGGCGGAUAGAGAGGAGGUGUGGAGGGUCAGGGGGAUUAGGCGGUGAUAGCAUGGGUAAUUUUGUGAGGUUGUGUGCUCAACAUCGUUAAUGCGGGUUUCGUUAAUGCAGAUUUCGAACCUUUAGAUUUCGUAAUUUUCUGAUUAGACAGUUGAGAUGACGAUUUGGAUCUGUCCUCUCAUGCUUUUUAUAGUAGAGAUGCGAUAUCACGAUGAAAAUUUACAAACCCUUAAAACUUUUGUCAAAGUACAUAACAAUUUUUUUUAAAUUUCUUUACUGUUUAUGCAUGUCCAUUUGAGCUCGAGCUCAAAUACUCCAUAUCCUUGGGACACCCCGUACAGUGACAUUACAGCUUAUAGUAGUUAGACCAUAAAAACGGCGUCUCGUCACCACAACUAACUCACUGAUUACCGAGUCAGACGGAAGCGAUGUGGAACAGUGCAAGCCGGCAAGUACGCGCAGCUGAAUCCUAGUACCUGGCUUUCCUGUAGCAGUUGACGCUGUCUGAGAGCAGAAGAGGGCCUUGCGAUCAUGAAGCGACCGAAAGGCCAAUAUAUACGUUGAGUGCUCCCGACAUUCGAAAAAGCUUGUCCCAAUUUUGUUCCUUAAAUGGAUGUAUCUAACAUUAAUUUGAUGUUAGAUACAUGCAUUUGAAGGACAAACUUUUUGGACGGACGGAGUAUAUAUUAGAAAAUAUAAAAUAGAUUAGGAUUUAUUCCUGUCUUAUCUGAUACUAUAAAAUAGUCAUGUAUUUUUAUACAUACGUUCAUGAGCCUCAAGAAAUAGAAUCAUCAAUUUCAUCAAUCCUCUUCUAUCUCCUUUUCUUUUGCCAGGGACCUUUCUAUCUCAUUUAGCAUGGUAUGGGUGUAAUUGAUCUAAAGCCUAGCCACCGUCCACCACAUUCGCCCUGUUAGUCGCCUCAAGGACGGUCGGCCCCAUGACAGCCGUCAGGGCCGCGUCGCCCGUAUCUAGGAUUCGUCCGUCGGUUGUGUUUAGUAUUUUUCCUGAUUUCUAGAUUCGGGUUCUUCUUUCUUCAACUAGUCGCAUUGAUCGAUGUUUUCGUUUUGAUUUUUCGAUCUAAGAUCGGUUUGCGUCGCCCGCUGCCGCAUUGGCCCUACGCCUCUACUUCGAAACCGACGUGAGCGACCGGCUUCUUCUCCGACCAGGCGGCCUCGCGCAACGAGGCAUCCCCUCACGGUCGUCGUCCGCGCGUCUGUCCGCCCAUCGCCAUCCUGCUCCGACCAGGACUGCUCCAUCACAACCCGUCUCCAUCGCGUGUGUACGGCCGCUCUGCCGUCUGCCUCAUCGACCCCGUCACUGCCCCUGGAACCCCUGGAUGACCACCACCGACAACCCCUGGAUCGCCGUCCUAGGCGUCCGCAUGACGACUGAGGAGAAUCGAUCUGGGAUGGGAUUCCAGAUUUGCCGCCGCUAGUCACCAUGACUGGCCCCCGCCAACCCCCGCAGACAUGAUGGCCCAGCCAGCACCGGAAUCCCAUCGACCCGCAGCCUAAUCGUGUCAAUUGCACCUCCACACCGGGUGUCCAGCGUAGCCAUCGCAUCUCGGCUAGAGAUCCCCUCGCGGAAACAAGAAGAUAGCAUGUCGUCCGCCGUGCAUCGGGCGAGCUUCGCUCGCUGACCUCCUUCUCCGGCAGCGGGGAAGCAGGAAGGGAGGGAUGGUCAGAGGCGGGGGAGGCUAGGAUUCAUCCGAGCCGCCCUGAAACAACUAAGAUCGAUCAGGUUGCACAAAACACGUGGUGGAGAUUCUCUCACUUGCUAAAGCGUAGGCACAGAGGGACACUGAAUGUAAGUUUGCUCAUCUUCUUGAUCAUUGGAACGAGAAAGAAAUGCCCAGAUGUGAUGAAAGAGUACCACUGAAACAAUACCCGGACAGUGAUAUGAUCAGGACCCUUGAACAAUGGUCUAAACAUUAGGGCAUUUUCAACACCAACCCGUAAAUCUCCUGCAUGCGUUCGGACCACGUUGUCCGAACCGUGAAAGCCAUCUAAUGUGGUUUUAUAUCGAUCUGAAAUACAGUUCGGACGUACAUUCUCCCGUAAACCGAAGACAAAUGUCAGGAGCUUUGCGGGAGUCCCGACACGUGACCACGCCUGUUUCUGACCAAUCUGACCAACUCAAACCCCUCCUUGCUCAUCCGCGCAUGUUCCCGACCAACGCCAUCUGCCUGCAUUCAUGUGUCGUAGAGCAUGCCGCUCCACAUUGAAAAUGGCUUAGGACGGACGCAACGUCUCACUGACUCCGUCAUUGAAGCGGCACGUCGGACGAGGGUGCCAGCUGCAACGUGUUUUCGGUGUUGGCGCCUUUUCAAUGCCGGAGACUCGUGACUGAAUGAGAGGGGACGGAUAUCAACCACGUUCAUUGAAUGCUCCGUUUGUCCGUAUGACAUCACUAAAUAGACUCGUCGGCCGAGAAACCCACUCCGAUGCCACGCAUCGACGUACCCGAACUUCUUGCCUCACCGAAAUCCGCUAUUUAAAGGCGGCCACAUCCGGCUAACUCUGCACCACAACACAAGCCACUCCCCAUCCUCCUUCUUUGCAAUGCAUCCCCCAUGACUGUAGGCGGCAAAACUUUGUGAUCAAGCCUUUCCACGGAGAUGAAGCACGUCGUGGCUGCUUUAUCGCCGCAUGAUAGAGCCGCUGUACCACGCGGAUCGAGGCCGGCUUGCCGGUCAGCUCGCCCUAGGUCUUCGACAACGAGGACAAUAUCAUGAUGGAGACGGGCUCCGACUUUCCCACGUCUUCUAUGCACCCCGGCUUCAUUGGAGCAGGCACAGAUGCAUUACAACGUCAUCAUGAUGGAGGGACAGCAUGGACCGAUGCCUAUGUUGAAGUUAGAGCGGGCGUUGAUGCGGCAUCAACUGGCGUUGGGUCGGAUCAACGGUGGACGCACGAGCGACGAGGCCCUGACAACCAUGACCAUGAUGAAUCCAAACUUCGUCAUGAAGCAGUGUGCCAUCUAGGAUGUCGUUGUCCUGGCUAAUUAAGUCAUGUACAUCUUUGUACGUACUAUGUGAAUUCACGCCAGUGUCACCGUCACCAUCAGUCACCCUGUUUUUUGUUUUGAAAGUUAGCAGGAGUACUGCUAAGAUUCCAUUACAGAAGAAGAAGCCGAAAAAGGCUGGAACUGCUCGAUUUAUUAGAGGAAAAUCGAACAAAACCUGUACAAAGGACAGACAGGCCACACCUAGAUAAAUUAGGUCAAAAGCGCUACACGACAUACAAAAACGCCAAGGCACAAACAAAUGAACAGCCUGAUCAACACCGAAGAGAGAAGGCAUAUCCGAUAAAGGAGCGGAUAAGUGUCGCUCCGGUGGUGAAAGGACAUCCAACAUGGCUUGACUGACGCUGUCUGCAUGACAAUAGUGCUCUAAUGCCCGACCACCACUGGAUUACAGCCAACCCUCGACGGACACGCCACCACAAACCAUAUCGUCGCCCCGCCACCUUCAACUCGGAGCUGGGCACCUUGCCGCAAACCAUAUGCUCCAUCAAGAGGUCAAAUCUUUAAAACGAUGCUGUGAACACCAGUACGGGUCACCAGUCAGCACACACACAUAUACCAGUAGCGUACAUGGUCUGAAGAGUUGUUAAUUAACCAAGUAUGCAGACAAGCUUGAAGUCCGGCCGGCACACGGCACAUGUACAGACUAUUUUUUUUCUUUCCCGACGACUGACUGACUAUGAUUGUGACGAAGAAGACAUAUCGCCGGCUGAAAGAUGAUAAAUACGGUCAAUCUGAGAUGGUCGCUGCUGGCCGGCGGCUAUUCUAGCGCGUUGUUGACUUCCAGUAUUACUUGGACCAUGUUCCGUAUCCGGCCGCUCCUCAACUCUGCUUGGGAGCUGGUGGAGCUGUAGCUGGAAAAAACAAAACGGAGCUGCAGUUUUUCAUCUCCGCGGAUUCCGGGAGCUAGAGGAUUAUCAAACAGGGUCUGAUGUGCGGGAUUCAUGGACACGAUGUCGGUAAACACAUGCAACGAUAACUAAUUAAGUGGACUCAGGGUAGGUCAGCUGAUCAAUCGAUCAGCUACCGGCCGCUUUUUUCUUAGAAAGACUCGUCUCUCUUUAUUGAUGCUGAAGCAAGUUCAUAGGUAUAAGAGAAGGAUCGUGCGGGUUUUCCAAGCAUACAUGUCUCCUGACACCCAAGUCUCCUGACAUCCAAGUUACAAGCAUGUUUGAUGAGAUUAUGAGCCUCAAAAUUACAGUUUCUACGUUCGUGAAGAAAAGAAGUCUGCCUAUGCCUAACACCGUGCCAGUGUGUUGUGGCGUACUUGGAUGCCAUAUGGUUAUAUAUAUGGUUUUAAUCAGGGCCCUACCUCGGAAAUACGAGCCCUGUAAGAAAUCACAGUUUAGGCCUCAUGUAUAUAUAGAAAAUUAAAAUAAAAAUAAAAAUUCAUAAACCAUUGUAAUAGUACAGUUUCUCAAAGAAGUCUGCCUAUGCCUAAGACAUAUUUUGGUGUCAAAAGGGAAAUUGCCUAAACAACAUUUUACAAAAUUAGAAUAGUGGUGAGGGACACAAAUUCAAGAAAGAGUGAGAACUAGAUGGUUGGGUGGGUGACUGUACCCCCAACCCACUAAAAGCAUCUAUAUCCACAUAUAGCCAAACUUGCCCUUCUCCGCGGACAGUGACUAGUUCCACCUCAAUUUUUUGUUCCCACAUUGGAUAUCUGAAUUUGCAAACCCAUGCUUCAUAUUAGACAUGCAUCCUUCAGUGGGAUGCAAUAUUUCUGUCAAAAGUGAGAUGCCCAUGAUAAUCUCAUACUAAAAAUAUUAGGCCCGCAAGGGUUUCAUUUUUCUUGUUUUUCCGGAAUUUUUAUACCACUUCUCAUUGAGUGACACAUGUGAGCGAUGACUUUCCACCUUAAUUGCUCUUCUUAAGGGUUUUCCUCCUUAAAAUAUAGUAAUGAGUUUGCAUGGGCUGGUUGUAUGGGCUUUGUUUGUCUCAUGUGGAAAGAUAGCUUGAUCAGAUGGGCUAGUUAAUCUCAAGACCCAUCGACUCGAUCGGCCUAAUGUUGAAGAACCUCAUUGCCCGCGUGGUGCCAUUUGAUGGUUGUGUGGAUACGGUGAUUGUUGUAGUUUGCCGAUUCCAGAUAUGAUUGCUUUUUAUUUUAUGUUUUCUUCAAAUAGGGUGAUUGCAGGUACGAUUUUGUGGAUACCGUGAUUGUUUUAUAUUUCUUUACUCAAAAAGAUAGAAGUGUAUAUGGCUCAACCUCGGAUCCAUCCGAACACUCACCGUAUAUAGGGGACUAUUAACUUGGCCCCAAAACAUACGGUCCUUUGACUAUGUGAAAGUUUUAAGCCUAAAAGUCUGAUUGUCUUGUUUCUACUAAUAUAAUUGACUUCAGACAUCGUGACAUCGGUUAAGGGUGCAUUUUUAGUUCAGAAACACCCUAAGUAGUAUCUAAUAAAGGACAUAAGCGGAUGAUUGGUCAUUUUUCGUUCAAACAGUUGCGCCCGAGACAAAAAAUAAGCAUAAAGCAUAAUAAACGCAUUAAACAAGUGAUUUGUUUUUUUUCAAGACAACUCAUGCUCAAUAAAAUUUCUUAAGGAUCAUGUCCUGGAUACGUUUGGCCUCGGAAAUACGGGCACCCGAUGUCACAUCUAUAAAGUACUGCUCAGGCACGUGCUUCUUUCCUUCGGGAUGACCCUCUGCCAUCUCCGCCGCAUUCAACCUAGGCCAAUACGUCGUGAUAGACGCAUAUGCCUGCCCAGCACCCUCCACGCAUUGUUGAAAUUAGUAGUGGGCUUUAGGCCCAUUCGAGAAUUUCAGAAAAAACUCCAAGGGCCCAUGUAGGUGGUGGCAUGACAAGGUGGUGGGAAGUUUAGUCCCACUCCGCUAGUGGAGGAGAAGUUGGACCCCUUUAUAAGGGUCUCUAUUUCACAUGCUAUUGGAGAGUGAGAAGAGAAGGUGCCCUCGCGCACUCCUCCUCCGCCGCCCGCCUCGUCACGACGCGUUGCGGGUUGCGGAAAUGAGCCGAGCCAAGCUCAUACCUACCGCCCAGCCGCCUUUAUAAGCAUCUGCCUCACGCGUUCGUUCCUUUUGCUGCUGCUGCCGCCGGCAACUCCGUCCCGUUUACCGCGUACACGGUCGACGGGAGAGCAGGCCUCCGAAAGCCCGCCUCUCCGGUUCCUGUACGGGAGAGGGGCGAUUAGGUUUUUGGGGAGCAAUCACGCGACUGCUCGCCUCCGUCCGUCUGCUUCGUCUACGUCCGCGUCGCCCUCGUCAUCGCCAUGUCUUCACCAUCUGAGGCCGAUCGUCUCGCCCUUGAAGCUGAGAAGAAGAGGGCAUAGGAUGCUGCUGCUGCUACGGCCGCGUCCAACGCCAACGCUGGUGCUACGGCCAACUGGCCCAUUGGAGGGUAUGAUUCGUUUAUCCUCAUGUUCGUAUUUAUCCUAGCAGUACUACUUGCAUGCAUAGAUGUAUCAACUAUAUGCGUAGUAUGUGCUAGGUUAGUUCAAGAUCAGUACGUCAUUAGUCUAGUCAAUGCCAUGCUAGUUAUUAUCUCGUGGAUUAAUAUACUCGGAAAAUUGCCUAUUUACUCAACAAUCCAAAAACCUAAUAUGUGUAGGAAUUUUUCAAGUAAUGGUUUUGCUGCUGCACUGAAACCGGACAAGUUUACUGGUACUUAUUUCAAGCGUUGGAAAACGAGAAUCAGCUUAUGGCUCACGGCGAUGAACGUGUUCUGGGUAGCCGGUGUCACUCCAACGGGAACGAUCUCUCCUGAACAGGAGAAGAUGUUCGCGGAGGCCACCGUCCUAUUCCUUGGAGCAGUUAUAAGCGUGAUCGGAGAUAAGCUGGUUGAUGCAUACUUACAUAUGCAUGUUGCCAAAUACUUGUGGGAGGCGCUCGAAUCUAAAUUCGGGGCCACCGAUGCUGGGAGUGAGAUGUAUGUUAUGGAGCAGUUCCACGAUUACAAGAUGGUUGACAACCGUUCUGUAUUGGAACAGGCUCAUGACAUAAUAUGCAUAUCUAAAGAACUUGAGGUUCUUAAGUGCAAUUUGCCGGGCAAGUUUGUCGCGGGUUGUAUAAUUGCUAAGCUCCCUAAUUCCUGGAGAAACUUUGCUACCACUCUAAAACAUCAGAGGCGUGAGUUCUCAGUAGAGGACAUCAUCGGUCAUCUGAGUGUUGAGCAGAACUCGAGAGCAAAGGACUCCAAUGGAAAAGCGGUGGAAAGCUCUUCUGCUGCCAAUAUGGUACAUCAGAGGAACUUCAAUUCCCACAAGCCCAAGGGAAAGAAUUCUGGUCAACAGAAUACCGACUUCAAGAAGAAGGGAAAGAAGCCAUUCAAGAAGAAUAAGAAGGGAGAUGGCUGCUAUACUUGUGGUUCAGAGGAACAUUGGGCGAACAAAUGCCCAAACAAGUACAAGAAGCCGGCGCAGGACUCCAAGUCUGCCAAUAUGAUUGUGGGCAACAAUGAAAGUGGUGCAUCUGGGUACGGUAAUUUACUUACUGUAUUUUCAGUUUGUCAGUCCACCGAUUGGUGGGUGGACACGGGUGCAAAUAUUCAUGUGUGUGCUGACUUAUCAUUGUUCUCUUCUUAUCAGGCCACCGGUCGCGGGUCCAUAUUGAUGGGGAAUGGCGCGAGUGCUUCUGUUCUUGGUGUUGGCACGGUCGAUCUGAAAUUUACUUCGGGAAGGAUCGUGCAGCUGAAGAACGUGCAGCAUGUCCCCGCCAUCAAGAAGAACCUCGUUAGUGGUCCCUUCUGUGUAGAGAAGGGUUUAAGUUGGUAUUCGAGUCUAAUAAAGUAGUAGUUACGAAAUAUGGACUUUUUGUUGGAAAAGGUUAUGAGUGCGGAGGUCUGUUCCGCCUUUCCCUCGCAGAUUUUUGUAAUAAAGGCGUGAACAAUAUUCAUUCGAGUGUUAAUGAAUCUGAAGUUUGGCAUUCAUGUCUUUGUCACAUAAGUUUCGGUGUUAUGUCGCGGCUAGCAAAACUGAAUUUAAUCCCAACUUUCACUUUAGCCAAAGGUUCUAAGUGACAUUCGUGUGUGCAAGCAAAGCAACCUCGCAAGCCUCACAAGGCUGCAGAGGAGAGACAGUUGGCACCAUUAGAACUCAUACAUUCUGAUCUUUGUGAGAUGAAUGGUGUGUUGACUAAAUGUGGAAAGAAAUACUUCAUGACAUUGAUAGAUGAUUCCACUAGAUAUUGCUAUGUGUAUCUGUUAAAUACUAAAGAUGAGGCUCUACACUACUUUAAAAUCUAUAAGGCAGAAGUUGAGAAUCAACUUGAAAAGAAAAUUAAACGAGUCCGGUCUGAUCGUGGUGGAGAGUACUUCUCAAACGAAUUUGAUUCAUUUUGUGCGGAACACGGCAUUAUUCAUGAGAGGACGCCUCCCUAUUAACCCCAGUCAAACGGGGUUGCCGAGCGGAGAAACCGUACUCUAACUGAUUUGGUUAACGCCAUGUUAGAUACAUCGGAUUUAUCCAAGGCAUGGUGGGGGGAGCCUAUAUUGACCGCGUGUCAUGUCCUGAAUAAAGUUCCUACAAAAGAUAAUGAGGUCACUCCCUAUGAGGAGUGGUCGAAGAGAAGGACGACGCUNNNNNNNNNNNNNNNNCGACGCUCUCAUACUUACGUACUUGGGGCUGCUUAGCGAAAGUCAAUGUAUCGAUCCCCAAGAAGCGUAAGCUUGGACCAAAGACUGUGGACUGCGUUAAUUUGGGAUACGCUAAGAAUAGCGUAGGCUAUAGAUUUCUAGUAGUAAAAUCUGAGGUACCUGAUGUAAAGGUCGGUACAAUAAUGGAGUCGAGGGAUGCUACAUUCUUUGAGGAUAUAUUUCCCAUGAGAGAUAUGCAAAGCACUUCUAGACAGGAAUCUGAGAUAACUCCCGAGCCUGCCAUUCCUAUGGAAUACUAUGAACAAACACAUGAUGAAAAUCUUGAGGAGGAUGACGAGGAAGCCCGUGGUAGGGGCAAGAGACAAAGGACUGCAAAGACCUUUGGUGAUGAUUUCUUCGUAUACCUCGUGGAUGAUAAUCCCACUUCUAUUUCAGAAGCGUAUGCUUCUCCAGAUGCUGAUUACUGGAAAGCUGCGAUCCGUAGCGAGAUGGAUUCCAUCAUGGCUAACGGGACAUGGGAAAUCACUUAUCGUCCCUAUGGUUGCAAACCAUUGGGAUGCAAGUGGGUGUUCAAAAAGAAGCUUAGGCCCGAUGGUACAAUUGAAAAGUACAAGGCUAGGCUUGUGGACAAGGGCUAUGCCCAGAAAGAAGAAGAAGAUUUCUUUGAUACUUAUUCACUUGUGGCUAGACUGACCACCAUUCGAGUACUACUCUCAUUGGCGGCCUCUCAUGGUCUUCUCGUUCAUCAAAUGGACGUUAAGACGGCUUUCUUGAAUAGAGAGCUAAAUGAGGAAAUCUAUAUGCAACAACCAGAUGGCUUUGUGACAGAAGGUCAGGAAGGAAAGGUGUGUAAGUUGCUGAAAUAUUUAUAUGGUCUGAGACAAGCACCUAAGCAAUGGCAUGAGAAGUUUCAUACAACUCUGACAUCUGUUGGCUUCGUUGUUAAUGAAGCUGACAAAUGUGUAUACUAUCGCCAUGGUGCGGGCGAAGGAGUUAUAUUGUGCAUGUAUGUUGAUGACAUACUGAUAUUUGGAACCAACCUCAAAGUAAUUGAGGAGGUUAAGUCUUUUCUGUCUUAAAACUUUGAGUUGAAGGACCUUGGGGUGGCUGAUGUUAUCUUGAACAUCAAGCUUUUGAGAGAUGAUGAGGGUGGGAUUACACUUUUGCAACCCCACUAUGUUGAGAAGAUUUUGAGUCGCUUUGGAUAUUCACACUGCAAAAUUUCUCAAACACCAUAUGAUCCUAGUGUGCUUAUUCGAAAGUUUAAAGGCACAACUAUAGAUCAAUUGAGAUUCUCUCAGAUUAUCGGUUCGCUUAUGUACCUAGCUAGCGCAACGAGGCCUGACAUCGCGUUUGAUGUGAGCAAACUUAGCCGGUUUGUUGCAAACCUGGGCGAUGUUCAUUGGCGUGCUGUUGAAAGAAUUAUGCGCUACCUGAAAGGUACUGUCAACCACGGACUUCACUAUACGGGAUACCCAUCGGUACUUGAAGGGUAUAGUGAUGCGAAUUGGAUCUCUGAUGCUGAUGAGAUGAAGGCCACUAUUGGGUAUAUGUUUACUCUUGGGGGUGGUGUUUUUUCCUGGAAGUCUUGCAAGCAAACGAUCUUAACGAGAUCGACAAUGGAAGCAGAAUUAACAGCAUUAGACACAUUUGGUGUCGAAUCAGAAUUUCUUCGAGAUCUUUUGAUGGACUUACCUGUGGUUGAGAAGCCGGUUCCGGCUAUCCUUAUGAACUGCGAUAAUCAGACGGUUAUUGUCAAAGUGAAGAGUUCAAAGGACAAUAUGAAGUCCAACAAACAUAUAAGAAUGAUAUUGAAGUCUGUCAGACAUUUGAGGAACUCCGGAGUGAUAGCGUUGGAUUACAUCCAAACGGCUAAGAAUCUGGCAGAUCCCUUUACUAAAGGGCUAUCACGUGUUGUGAUAGAUAGUGCAUUGAGGGAUAUGGGUAUAGACCCACAUGAGUUGCCAUGGCAGUAACCCAACCUAUAUGAUCGGAGAUCCCGUGAAGUAGGACCUAGGAAAACAAGCCAGUGGUGAACUGAGGAGAGUAACUUUACUAACCCACUCCGUUGGAGAUGCAAUGCUCUCGGAUACUGUAUGGUAGGAUGACUACUGUCUUAAUGUGUUCUAAAGCUUAUGUGUAAGCAAGAUGUUGUCCUACAGAGUGAUCUUUGGAGGAACACGCCUAUAUGAGCUUGACUGCUGGUCACAGUCUAUGAGAUUUGGGUGAUCUCUAGUAAACUCAUGAAUAGGCCAGGAGUGUGACUAAUAUGCUCCACCCGAGGGGUCACCUUCGGCAGCCUAGUACUAGUAAGACUUGUGGUGAAGCUUCUUUAUGCCAAGCUGACAAUUCAAGGCAUAGUCCAUUGUUCGGUUGUAAAGGAGUGUAGCUACUUGCUCUAGGUGAAUCUCAACCUUAACAGGUCUUCACUGAAAUGCUGGUAUAUUAAAACAGUGAAUUGGAACGAGGGAACACAAUGUGCCCUUGAGAUCUGGUGGGGGAUUGUUGAAAUUAGUAGUGGGCUUUAGGCCCAUUAGAGAAUUUCAGAAAAAUCUCCAAGGGCCCAUGUAGGUGGUGGCAUGACAAGGUGGUGGGAAGUUUAGUCCCACCCCGCUAGUGGAGGAGAAGUUGGACCCGUUUAUAAGGGUCUCUCUUCCACAUGCUAUUGGAGAGUGAGAAGAGAAAGUGCCCUCACGCACUCCUCCUCCGCCGCCCGCCUCGCCACGCCUCGUCACGACGCGUCACGGGUUGCGGGAAUGAGCCGAGCCGAGCUCAUACCUACGUUCUUAUUUUGUCGGUCAGGAACGGAGAAUACGUAACGGACACGGCACGAUCUGAGACGUCGGAUCGUGGGAUGUUACCGACUCGGGCGUGGGUUCGGCCCACGUUUCUCCGCCCAGCCACCUUUAUAAGCUGGCUAUCACCUACCCUAGCCGUCACGAGAAUCAGAUCACAUAUGCCUCACGCGUUCGUUCCUUUUGCUGCUGCUGCCGCCGGCGACUCCGUCUCGUUUACCGCGUACACGGUCGACGGGAGAGCAGGCCUCCGAAAGCCCGCCUCUCGGUUCCUGUACGGGAGAGGGGCGAUUAGGUUUUUGGGGAGCGAUCACGCGACUGCUCGCCUCCGUCCGUCUGCUUCGUCUACGUCCGCGUCGCCCUCGUCAUCGCCAUGUCUUCACCAUCCGAGGCCGAUCGUCGCGCCCUUGAAGCUGAGAAGAAGAGGGCAGAGGAUGCUGCUGCUACGGCCGCGUCCAACGCCAACGCUGGUGCUAUGGGCAACUGGCCCAUUGGAGGGUAUGAUUCGUUUAUCCUUAUGUUCGUAUUUAUCCUAGCAGUACUACUUGCAUGCAUAGAUGUAUCAACUAUAUGCGUAGUAUGUGCUAGGUUAGUUCAAGAUCAGUACCUCAUUAGUCUAGUCAAUGCCAUGCUAGUUAUUAUAUCGUGGAUUAAUAUACUUGGAAAUUCCCUAUUUACUCAACAAGCAUGUUGAGCGCUUCCAUAGGUUGAUCCGGGGAGUGGCACCUUGAAGGCAUUGGACCAAGCCAAAGAAACUGCUUGACAAUGGAUCGGUUGGCCAUUGAGCGAUGUAGAGGUCCUUCAUAGCCGGCUUCGCACUCUGUAUAGCUCCGGCAGUUGCUUCAGUUGGUCACCGACGAGACGGGGAUGUGGAGGCACUUGGAACUGUGCCCAAAACGCCUUCUGAUAAGAUGCACCUUCACGCGCGCCAUCGUAUUGGCAAGCAUCCGCCACACUCCCCGGCAGGUCCGCAAAAGUGCUUGUAAAUGUAAAAUUUGCAUUGUGUGGGCGGAGUCGUGAUUGUCGAAGAUGCAAUGUACUUCCUCCAUCCAGAAAUACUUGUCAUAGGAAUGGAUGUAUCUAGAUGUAUUUUAGUUCUAGAUACAUCCAAAUUUUAUCAAUUUGUGCAACAAGUAAUUCUGGACGGAGGGAAUACUAACUAAGGCUUACCGAGGGUUUAUUUCAGAUGCCUGCAAAGGAUUUUUCUCGGGCGGACCUCCCCUGCACUUGUGCCUCUUGGCGCGCCAAUUAAAUCCACUUAAGCUUGGCGGCGUCCUCCUCCUUGGCAGUCCGAAGAGCAUCACGCUCAGUCGCCAGGUCCUUGAGCUCUUCCUCAACCUCGAUUAUCCAAGCUUGCUCCUUCUUCCAAGCAUGCCCCUCCGCGGCAAGCUCCUCCAUCGCCUUUAAUGUCGUAGCCCUUUGCUUCUCGGCUUCGGAUCGAGCCUUUUUAAGCUCGACACACAAGGCAUCCAUCUCCUUAUCGGCCACAGGAACAAUUUAUAAACACACAUUAGUACUCAAAUUGUUUCAAACAAAACAACUUAUGGUGCAUGUUUCAAAUAUUUACCUUGCGCUUUCUCCAUCUACUUCUUUAGCACAUCAAUAUCCUUCUUUGAUCAUGCAAGCUUAUGGUUCAGAUCCUCCAAAUCUUUCAAGUUGGAGGCCGAGGAAGAAGCAAAGGCCUACAUAAUAGAGCAUAUGUAGCAUACAAGACUCUGAGUAUGAGAUCGAUCCUCUUGUAGGCUACAAGAGUCUCGAGGGCUGCUGCAUAUUCGCCUUACUCUCUAAAGAGCAGUAAAAAAUCGACCCCAAGUCAGUUUUCUGAAAACUAACUUAAGCCUUCGGGGUUGCUGUGUUCAUGCUUUCAGCUGAUGGAUCAUUAUUUUUAGCAACAUCUUGUCUUCGAACACACAUUUUUUUUCAAAAUGCCAUCCUUAAAGGGCUACUGUGCAUAGUUAGUAUCACCUACAAGGCCAAAGUUAUAAAAACUGAUAGAUGUAAAGUUUGUUUAUCUCAAAUCCUUUUGAGAGGCAAAGGAAGGCCACAAUUGUUCCGGCCUUUGCGGACCGGAAUUGUGUGUACGCCAUGCCGAGAAGGGCAUCGUGCUCGUGAAGGAUAGAUAAAUUUAUUAAGUCUGCCUCUAUCUCCUUUUGACAUUCCAAAGGAUCGGCUUACCCGAGGUCAAGCGAAGACGAUAAUGUACCGUGACGGGAGGGGGGGUGGCCACCUCUGUCAAGUGUUGCGGUCCUUGAGCUAUAGUGACCAAGAACUCUAGGCAGUUGAGCACCGGCUUAUCUAGAACUUGGGGAACCUUCUCCCCUUGGUCGUCGACGACCAAGGUAUGGAUCUCGUCCAUGGACACAUAAGCACCCCCCCCCCCCCCCCCCCUUUCCCCCCCCCCCCGCGCCCUUUGUGUCAAAUACGAGAGGAUUCAGGUGCGACGUGACCUUGUGGGUUGGGGCAUGAUUCACUAGUAGAAAACAAGGCUAUCGUUCGGCCCUGGCCAGCCCAUUAGUCUUGGUUCUUCAAGAACUGGGACCAAUGGGGGGUAUUAGACCCGGUUCGUGAGCCCAGGGGGCGGCCGGGGCCUCGUGGGCAUUGGUCCCGGUUCGUGUAGAACCAUUUGUCCCGGUUCGAGCCACGAACCGGGACCAAUGGUCCUCGCUGCUGGCCCACAACCAUUGGGGUUCGUGGCAUGAACCGGGACAAAUAACUUGCCUAUAUAUACCCACCGCCGCGGCAGAGCACUCCACAGUGCUUUGUUUUUUCAACCCGGCGAGGUUUCUAGUUCACCUCCUAUGCACAUGAGGUGUUCGAUGAAAUGCCCGAGCCAUACUAGUUAAGCUUUCUCGUCUCGAAGCUCGACCUAGGAGCUCCAUUUUUUUUCGAGAUUUGUCUAGAUUUAGGGGUCUGUCAUGCCCCGUCCUUGUUUUCACCACCGUUGAUCGCCCGCUCUGAUCUCGUCGCCGGCACCACCGUGGUGAGCCUCUUGUUCUUAUCUUCUUUAUGAUACUUGUCUGAUUUUCUUACUUUAGAUAGAUAUUUGUCUGAUUUUCUUAAUUUUGACACACAUAAUUAUAUGUAAUGCACGCAGAUGAACCGGCAAUGGAUGUAUGGUGACAGACACACCUCCGAGCACAUUAAGGGCGUGCUUAUUUUUCUCGAAGUGGCUGAGGCAAACAAGCAGAAUGGUUUUAUGUGUUGUCCAUGCAGUAAAUGUGGGAAUACGAAGUCUUACUCUGACCGGAAAAUCCUUCACACCCACCUGCUUUACAAGGGUUUCAUGCCACAGUAUAAUGUUUGGACGAGGCACGGAGAAAUAGGGGUUAUGAUGGAAGACGGCGAAGAAGAAGAGGACGAUGACAACUAUGUGCCCCCUGAAUAUGGUGAUGCUACAACGGGGGAAGCUGCUGAAGAUCAAGAGGAACCAGACGAUGUGCCCGAUGAUGCUGCAACGGGGGAAGCUGCUGAAGAUCAAGAGAAACCAGACGAUGUGCCCGAUGAUGAUCUCCGCCGGGUCAUUGUCGAAGCAAGGACGCAAUGCAAAAGUCAAAAGGAGAAGCUGAAGUUCGAUCGCAUGUUAGAGGAUCACAAAAAAAAGUUGUACCCCAAUUGUGAAGAUGGCAACACAAAGCUGGGUACCGUACUGGAAUUGCUGCAGUGGAAGGCAGAGAAUGCUGUGCCUGACAAAGGAUUUGAGAAGCUACUGAAAAUAUUGAAGAAGAAGCUUCCAAAGGAUAAUGAAUUGCUCGACAGUACGUACGCAACAAAGAAGGUCGUAUGCCCUCUAGGAUUGGAGGUGCAGAAGAUACAUGCAUGUCCUAAUGACAGCAUCCUCUACCGCGGUGCGUACGAGGAUUUGUAAGCAUGCCCGGUAUGCGGUGCAUUGCGGUAUAAGAUCAGACGAGAUGACCCUCGUGAUGUUGACAGUGAGCCCCGCAGGAAGAGAGUUCCUGCGAAGGUGAUGUGGUAUGCUCCUAUAAUACCACAGUUGAAACGACUGUUCAGAAACAAAGAGCAUGCAAGUUGAUGCGAUGGCAUAGUGAGGACCGUAAGAAAGACGGGAAGUUGAGAGCACCCGCUGACGGGUCGCAGUGGAGAAAAAUCAAGAGAGAGUGCUGGGUUGAGUUUGCACGUGACACAAGGAACAUAUGGUUUGGUUUAAGCGCGGAUGGCAUUAAUCCGAUCGGGGAGCAGAGCAGCAAUCACAACACCUGGCCCGUGACUCUAUGUAUGUAUAACCUUUCUCCUUGGAUGUGCAUGAAGCGGAAGUUCAUUAUGAUGCCAGUUCUCAUCCAAGGCCCUAAGCAACCCGGCAACGACAUUGAUGUGUACCUAAGGCCAUUAGUUGAAGAACUUUUACAGCUGUGGAAUGGAAACGGUGUAUGUGCGUGGGAUGAGCACAAACAGGAGGAAUUUAACUUGCACGUGUUGCUAUUUGUAACCAUCAACGAUUGGCCCACUCUCAGUAACCUUUCACGACAGACAAACAAGGGAUACCACGCAUGCAGACACUGUUUAGCUGACACCGAAAGUAUAUACCUGGGAAGCUGCAGGAAGAAUGUGUACCUGGGCCAUCGUCGAUUUCUUCCGACCAACCAUCAAUGUCGAAAGAAAGGCAAGCAUUUCAAAGGCGAGGCAGAUCACCGAAAGAAGCCCGCCAUGCGUACUGGUGAUCACGUACUUGCUAUGGUCAAUGAUUUACACGUAAUCUUUGGAAAGGGUCCCGGCGGACUAGCUGUUCCGAGUGACGCUGGGGGACACGCACCCAUGUGGAAGAAGAAAUAUAUAUUUUGGGACCUACCCUACUGGAAAGACCUAGAGGUCCGCUCUUCGAUAGACGUGAUGCACGUGACGAAUAACCUUUGCGUCAACCUGCUAGGCUUCUUGGGCGUGUAUAGGAAGACAAAAGAAACAGCUGAGGCACGGGAGGACCUGCAACGUUUGCACGAAAAAGACGGCAUGCCUCCAAAGCAGUAUGAAGGUCCUGCCAGCUACGCUCUUACCAAAGAAGAGGAGGAAAUCUUCUUUGAAUGCCUGCUUAGUAUGAAGGUCCUGACUGGCUUCUCGUCGAAUAUAAAGGGAAUAAUAAAUAUGGCAGAGAAAAAGUUUCAGAACCUAAAGUCUCAUGACUGCCACGUUAUUAUGACGCAACUGCUUCCGGUUGCAUUGAGGGCGCUUCUACCAGAAAACGUCCGAUUAGCCAUUGUGAAGCUAUGUGCAUUCCUCAAUAUAAUCUCUUAGAAGGUGAUCGAUCCAGAAAUCAUACCAAGGCUAAGGAGUGAUGUGGUGCAAUGUCUUGUAAGUUUCGAGCUGGUGUUCCCACCAUCCUUCUUCAAUAUCAUGACGCACGUCCUAGUUCAUCUAGUUGACGAGAUUGUCAUUCUGGGCCCCGUAUUUCUACACAAUAUGUACCCCUUUGAGAGGUUCAUGGGAGUCCUAAAGAAAUAUGUCCGUAACCGCGCUAGGCCAGAAGGAAGCAUCUCCAUGGGCCAUCAAACAGAGGAUGUCAUUGGGUUUUGUGUUGACUUCAUUCCUGACCUUAAGAAGAUAGGUCUCCCUAAAUCGUGGUAUGAGGGGAGACUGACUGGAAAAGGCACGCUGGGAGGGGAGACAAUAAUAUGCAGGGACAGAUAUUCUUGGUCUCAAGCACACUGCACAGUUCUACAGAACUCUACCUUGGUGACCCCUUAUGUCGAUGAACACAAGAACAGUCUGCGCUCCAAACACCCGGAGCAGUGCGACGGCUGGAUUACAUGUGAACACAUCAGGACUUUCAGCAGUUGAUUGGAAACACAUCUUAGAGAUGAAAACACUGUUUGUGAUGAGCUGUACUCGUUGUCCAGGGGACCAUCUUCGACUGUUACAAUUUGGAAAGGAUACGAGAUAAAUGGGAAUACAUUUUACACGAUCGCCCAAGAUCAAAAGAGCACCAACCAAAACAACGGUGUUCGCUUUGAUGCAGCCACCUAGAGGGGAAAGGACACAUAUUAUGGUUACAUAGUGGACAUAUGGGAACUUGACUACGGAGCAGAUUUUAAGGUCCCUUUGUUUAAGUGCAAAUGGGUCAAUCUGUCAGGAGACGGGGUACAGGUAGACCCACAAUAUGGAAUGACAACAGUGGAUCUGAACAAUCUUGGGUACACUGAUGAACCGUUCGUCCUAGCCAAUUUUGUGGCACAGGUUAUCUAUGUGAAUGACAUGUCUACCAAACCGAGAAAAAGAAAAAAUAAGGAAGCGAAUACAUCAUACGAUGAGCCAAAGCGCCACAUAGUUCUUUCAGGAAAAAGGGACAUCGUGGGAGUGGAGGGCAAGACAGACAUGUCCGAAGAUUAUGAAAAGUUUCAUGAAAUUCCUCCCUUCAAAGUCAAGGCUGACCCAAGCAUCCUGCUAAAUGAUGAAGAUUAUCCAUGGUUACGGCGCAAUAAGGAAAGGACACAAGCGAAGAAAAAGUAAAGACUUUCUCCACAACUAUUAUGAUGAUACCAUGCCAACUUUCAACCUUUUUGUAGUUCAUUUGAAAUGCAUGUUGUAACAGAGAAGUUUCCGUAUGAAAUCCUGAUACUUCGAAAGAGAUUGUCCGUUUUGUACACGAAGUGCAUCCAGUUUUUGUCGUAACCCUCUCAACUUUCUUGCAUAUGCUAUGUGGAUGAAAUGAUGAUACCAUGCCAAAAUAAAAGAGAGGCGCAAUGCUCACCUGCACAUUGCUUAGCUUCAGGCCAACGUGCAGGUGAGCAUUGUGCUUCUCCCUUCAUCGCCUUUACACUCAGGGCUUUGGAACCGCUGCGAGUGCCUCUCGCUUGGCGAGGUGGGACUAAAAAACAGCUGCAGAAAGAAUCAACUAAAAAACUCUUUUACCGGUUCAUGCCACGAACCGGUACUAAAAGGUGCUCGUGUGGCCCGAGCCUUAAAACCUGUACCAAAUAAAAUGCCUUUGUAACAACCUUAGAACUGGUACUAAAGGAAUCAACUAAAAAGCUUUUAUAAACCUCUAGUAUUAUUGAAACUAAAAUUAUAUAAAAUUUUGUUACAAACUUUAAUAGCAAAAAGAAUUAUCAUAAAAGAAAAUAAAUAAGUAAUUAGAAUUUUGUUCAAAACAUUGAAAUCAAAAAGAAUUAUCAUAAAAGAAAAUAAAUAAGUAAGUAGAAUUUUGUUACAAACUUUAAUAGCAAAAAGAAUUAUCGUAAAAUAAAAUAAAUAAGUAAUUAGAAACAAAAAAGAAAGCAAAAAAGAGAAAAACAAUUAAAAAAGUGCCACCUACAGGGCCACCACGGCGUGCCUAUGACUAGAAACCCAUUACUAGGGCCAGGAUGCAGGGCCGCAGUAGGCCCAAUAGGCCCACAAGCACAGAGAGUGAUUUUAGGCCCGUAAGCCUGCAGUAGAGAGGAGCUCGAAGUGGUUGGUUCGGCACGGCUUAUAAAACCACUCCGAGCCCCUCUCGGCUAGCGAGGUGGGACUAAAGAUAGCACUGCACCACGCAAGGCCUUUGGUCCCGGUUGGUGGCACCAACCGGGACUAAAGGGAGGCAUUGGUACCGGUUGGUGCCACCAACCGUUACCAAAGGCCUCUGCUUCCCGCCCUUUGGGCUACUGAAAGGAGACCUUUGAUCCCGGUUUGUGCCACCAACCGGUACCAAUGCCUCUGCUUCCUGCCCGUCAGGCUGCUGAAAAGAGACCUUUGGUCCCGGUUGGUGCCACCAACCAGGACUAAAGGUGGGGCUAUAUAAGCAACAGUUUAUAAAUUUUGAUCUCUCCCCCUCUCUCCAUUCGAUCCCGACGCCGACGCCGCCCCUGCCCCCGACGCUGCAGGCUGCCGGAGUCGCUGCCGCCCGCGAAGCCGUCCUCGUCGUCGCCGCCACCUACGUCGGCCGCCUGCGCCUCCUCCAUCCGCCCGCCGACGAGCAUCCCAGCCCUCCUCUGCUUCCCACGGUGAGAUCCGCCGCCACUCCGCUCUCUCCUCCUCUAGCUCCGGAUGAUCCCGUCGGUAGGCGCCCCUCCUCUCCCCACGUCGUGCUCAGAGCCCCCAUCCUCUCCCCUCUCCGGCAGGGCCGGUCCUGCGAAUCUGAUACUUGUGCAUCUUGAUCUAUUUUGGUAGUCCUGCAUAUCGGAUACUUGUGCAUUUCUGAUACUUGUGCAUUUCGGAUACUCUAGGAACAUCAUUUCCUUUGAUAUGCUCAUCCUAUGUUGUCCUGCAUGAGCAAUGGGAUUAGAUAUGCAAUAUUUGCUCACUGGAAUAAACAUUUCUGCCACUUUGGCAAAACUUAUGGUAGUUGAAUUAAUCUAAUGUUGUUACCAACCAAAAGAUGGCAUAUAUUAAUUCUUGUUCAUUAGAUUUUUAGUUGUAGUGCAAUAUGAGACAGAUAAUUAAAUUUUGUGGACAGUAUGGCAACGUGUUUUUCUGUGAAAUUAAAGGGGGUGACCAAUUAAGGAAGCUGAACGACAAUAUUUUUGACCAUACAAAAGUAAAAAAUGAACCUGACUACAAUAUUUAAUUAUCUGUGCUAGCAGCCGACUAUUUAAGUGAUUACAACAAUACUAUAUAAUUUCUGAUUUAUAAGGCAUGUCCAUUUGAUUUGAUCAUCAAUUUAAUCAAAAAUAAAAAGGAAUAGCCAAUAAGUUACCAUCUGGUUAGCAUGAACUUGUCUUAUAAGUUAACAUCUGGUUAGCACGAACUUGUGUUUUAUUUCCUUUAUUUAGUCAUAUGCAUGUGAACUUAUUUCUUUAUCCUUUUAGAAUAUAACAACUAGUAUUACCACCAUAGUGAAUAUAGCUUUGGUUUUAUUUAUUUAUAGUAAGUGCUUAGUAGUUGAACUAGUUGAUUUAAUAAAACUACUUUAUUUUACUAUAUAUAGAAGUAGUUUAUUUUUAGCAAGAAAAUUAAUAGAACUAGUUUAUUUUUUAGUUGAUUUCAUGAUGCCUAUCCCGCAUCCUCGUCGUCGACUCGGCGGAGGACACCUGCUUGAUUAGAUGGGCCAUGUCCGGGACUGGGCUCCGCCGGACUAGUAUUGGGAGGUGCUACCUUCCGGGGGACGUAGGUUGGUGAGGAGGCAACCCGUUGUUGACCCGAUCCUUGUUUGGUGGCGGUCGCGUGGGCCAGUGUCGGUGCCGAGGCUUCCGGAUACCGUGGAGGUGGUACGUCACCGUGUCAGCGAGGAGGACGAGCACGUCCGUCGCUACAUGGUUGCAUUGGAGGGCAGGUUCGACAAUACCUGGCAGGUUCUUCAGGGAUCUCACUUGAGCUAUGAUCCUGUGAUGGUUCCUUAUCUUUGGGUGUCCACGGCCCGCGACGAUACCCGUCGGGCGCUACGAUUCUAGCUGUAUUAGUGAUGCUAUAUGUAUGACAAAAGAUGAUGUAGUUUUGUUUAUAAUUGAAUGCAUGCUAAUUUGAAUACUACUUUAUUUUACGAUUUGGUUUUGCUUAUUGAAUGCUCAAAUUGGAAAAGUACUCCUACUUUGAAUGCUAAAAUUGGAGAGCACUAUGCAGAAAUCUAGGAGCCCCCUCCAUCAUCCACGUCGUCGUCCCCGUCACCGACCCCCCUCCGACCUCGAGUCAGGGUCUAUAUUGUUUUAUGCUAUUUUACCUUAAAGAGGGUAUUUAAUUAGGUCCUACCUAAUACUGAUGAUCAUGUUGCUGUAAAUGUUGUAUGACAAUGUUGUAAAGGGUAGUAAUUGGUCUCUUCAGCUGCUUUUCAGAGAUGGAGUUCUUCACGAUUAUACUUGAGAAAUCCUCCAGCAAGCAGGUGCUGCCGGACAAUUUUGUGAAGAUGCUGGACGGCCAUCGGCCACAGAACAUGAAGCUAAGGCAGGCCGACAACGGGCUUCACAAGCUGUGGGACGUGGAGGUGGUGUUCGACACCGAUGGAAGCAUGUACCUAGAUCGUGGCUGGAAGCAGUUCGUCCGUGCCUACGACCUGCGGCACGGGUACUUCCUUGUCUUCAGGUACGACGACAACGCCACAUUCGCCAUGAAGGUAUUCGACACGACUAUGUGUCGGAGGCGCUACCAGGACGAAGACGAUGCCAGUAUGCUUUGUCUCUUCUUCCUCUCCAUUAGGCUAUGUCUCACACCCAUUUUAAAAAAAACUUUUUUGCAUUUGGCAAGGCAAUGGGAGCAGGAGCAGCGAGUACUGACAAUGUUGUAAAGGGUAGUAAUUGGUCUCUUCUGCUGCUUUUCACAUAUGAAGUUCUUCACGAUUAUACUUGAGAAAUCCUCCAGCAGGCAGGUGCUGUCGGACGAUUUUGUGGAGAUGUUGGACGGUCAUCGGCCAUAGAACAUGAAGCUGAGGCAGUCCGGCAACGGGCUUCGCAAGCUGUGGGACGUGGAGGUGGCGUUCGACACCGAUGGAAGCAUGUACCUAGAUCGUGGCUGGAAGCAGUUCGUCCGUGCCUACGACCUGCGGCACGGGUACUUCCUUGUCUUCAGGUACGACGACAACGCCACGUUCGCCGUGAAGGUGUUCGAGACGACUAUGUGUCGGAGGCGCUACCAGGACGACGACGAUGCCAGUACGCUCUGUCUCUUCUUCCUAUCCAUUAGGCUAUGUCUCACACCCAUUUUAAAAAAAAAUGCAUUUGGCAAGGCAAUGGGAGCAGGAGCAGCGAGUACUGCGACAGGUGCUAUGUCCACGGCAUCAGCGACUUUGGCUAUAGCAAAAGUAGCAGCGACUCUGGCUACAACAAAAGUAGCAGCGACGAUGGCCUCGCGAUGGUGAUCCCACAGCUGGGCGACAGGGCCAUGCCAAUUCUGGUAGAGGAGUACAUCCCACAGCCUGGCCUGGGGCUUCGCCACUCUAAGCGCAUUAGGAUGAUGAAGGAGAAGGUGAAGAAGCAGGAGUGAAGAUCUUAAGAAUCUGAUGGAGCUUUAAUCUUUAUAGUGUAAACCUUUUAAGUACGAUAGUGUUGAACUGCUACUGCACUUUUAAGUAUGAUGGUGGUAUGCCUGAUGAAAUUUUGUGCAUGCUCAUGGAUGCUCAUUGAUGAAAGAUAAAAUUAUUUAUUUUUGUGCUUGCUCAUGGAUGCUCCUUGGUUGGUGUAUAUAACAACCUAAAUUAACCCCUAAACCAGCCCCUUUCAAAAAAACUCAGCUUCAGCCAGGUGCUGAUGCGUGGAUGCCUUUUGGUCCCGGUUGGUGUCACCAACCGGGACUAAAGGCCCCCCUGCCUGGCCUGGCCGCAGCGACCACGUGGAGGCCCAUCUGUCCCGGUUGGUGUAAGAACCGGGACUAAAGGCCGAGGGCAUUAGUAACGACCUUUUAGUCCCGGUUCCAAAACCGGGACAGAAGGCCCUUACGACCGGGACAAAAGGCCCUUUUUCUACUAGUGAUUUGUGCUCGCACCCGAGGAGUUCUUGGCCAGGUUGGCCAGAAGAAUACGAUCGCUCAAAUCCUCCUCAAUGGGGAAGUGUAAAAGUGUGUUGGAAAAGCAAAAGAUAAACAAGUUAAAACAUAUUGAUCAAGACUACUUCAUAGUAUAAAGACGAUAGGGGGUGCAAAUUAAAUAUGUUCGUGGGGGGCUUCUCCCUACGUGGUUGAGGUCAGUGUCCUCAGAGGACUUGGAAUCGGCUGCCUCUAUUAGAACUGAGGACCGACUUGCGGCAUGGGCCUUCUGUAGCCAUUUGAAUUGCUAAGGAGGGUCAACCUUUGAGAUGUCCUCGCAUAUCGCUCUUUUCCCCCUCCUAGAGGAAUGUACCUCAUCCUCCUCCUUCUCCUCGUUGGAGUAAGUUUUAGAGGGGAAACUGCGGAUGCUCUCGGUUUUGGCAUCUGAGGUGUCUCCUUGGAUAGACAUGCCUUUCGAUCUAGUCUUGUUCUCCCCCUUCUCCUUGACCGCAACGAUGUAAGGUUUCUUGGUCAAGAGCUCUUGGAGCUGAGGGGUUCAGGAUUCCUCCGGCAAUGGUGACGAGGAUCCCAUCUUUUGGACCUUAGUGGGCCAGGCCUGGUCAUAUGACAUAUAGUCGAUCACCUUUGUUAAAGAUAAAAGCAGUAAAGGACUUGUUGAAGUAGACAUUAUGCAUAGAAUAUACCUCUGUUGAGGGGUUAGCAUGAAUUAAGCCAAGGUCCACAUCUCGGCUUGGGAAGUCAUUCUUUGUGGGCUUGAAUAGAGUCGUCCACAUCCCAACAAGGUUAGCGCGGAAGAAGUGAUUUAUGGGCACCUCAUCCUCUAUUUUAUAGGGCCACAUUCGGUUAGCUCGGAGUUUAAGAGGGAGUAUCCAGUGGUGGAGCAUGAUGUGGGCCACAUCCACCAAUUUGACGCCUCGUGUAACCAUCUGCUUGAGCUUGCCUUGCAACAUCUUCACCUCAUCUUGAUCCCUUAGAGCAUGGUUAAUAGUAUAGCCAACUGCUGGCUAUAAGCAGUCUUAUAGCCCAUCUUAUAGCUAGCUUGUACAAUAGUUAGCUAUAAAAGAGUACUACUUUUAUCAUAUAUGACCCACCUUUCAUUCUCACAAAGCACCUAGGAGCACGUGCUAGAGCUGGCUCUUCACGAAGAGCCCGCUUCCCUUCUCUCUCCUCUUCUCUCUCAUCCAACUCAGCAAAAAUAUAGUAUUUUAAUCCUUACAGCCUGCAGAGUGUACCUUAUUGUACUUGCUCUUAGUGAGGACCUUUCAUGACCCAAGAGUCAAGACUUAUUGGCGGCUCUGUUGUGAAUGUUGGGGACCCCAACUAGCCCUUAGCUCGUAGGUCGGUCAAAUAAAACCAUUCCUACUAUCAAAUCUUAAUUGUCUCCACAGAGGCCCUCUUUGGCCGGAGAACCUUGGGAAGUUUAGUAAUGAUGGCCCCUCCGCAUUCGGCGAGUUGGGAGCGAGUACUCUUUGGCUAGACAUUCAAUAUUUUCAGUCACAAACUGAAGUGGGUGUCGUGGUUUUGUCACGGUAGAUGUCCUCGUGAAAGGACUUAAGGAUGGAGCCAUCGCACCUUGGUGGCGACUCAAAGGGGGUGAGCGAAAGCAAGACUCAGAUUUACCUAGGUUCGGCCCCUUGUGUGGAGGUAAAAGCCUACGUCCUGCUUUGUGUAGAUUGAUGAUGGUUUCGAUUACAAGGAGGGCGUAACUCGCCUGUCCCAGCUCUCGAUGAUUUCUAACUUGCCCUAUCUUCUCCAGGGACUCGCCUUUAUAUACAGGUCGAGGCCCUAGGAUUUACAAGAGUCCUGGCUAUGCUACAAAUCGUAGCUUUCCCUAUCUCUAAGUCGCCGUGUCUUCAAAGACUAGAAACCUCCCCGACGGUCUAUCUUCUAUAUAGCUCCCGAACCGCCAUCUGGCUCCUGGGCCAAGGCCUGUAUUACCAAUGGAUAAGUCGCCCCUUUAAUGACCCGGCCUAACUAGGGCGGGUUACACCGCAGGUAAUAUCCCCAACAGGUACCCCACUUAGACCUGGUCGAAAGAUCAAAUGUGGAAGGUCAUGACUUGUUGUGUUGUCUUGCACAACAUGAUCAUUGAGAGUGAGUAGGAGGAGCCAGUAUUUGACACUGAACCAUAUUACAGGCAAGGUCCUAUUGUCUAAGUUGAUCACCAGCUACGUCAACCUGGACUGCCUUCCUCAACAUGCGUCAGGAGAUCCGAGACCCAUACGUAUUAACAAUUGCAACACGGUUUGGUGGAGCACCUAUGCAGGCUGAAGAGCAACGCCUAGCUCCUUUUUGAUUUGUAUUGACUUGUUAAACUAUUUUUUGAUUUGCAUUGAUUUCUGUGAUGAAUUAUGAAAUAAAAAAUAACUAUUGUUGUUUAAUUUAUGCUGAAAAAUAUCGAUAUGAGUCAAAAAUGGAUCGAAUUUACGUCGAAACUGGACCGAAAGCAACGGCUUGGGGUGUCAUUGAGUGGGCGGCUGGGAAGCCGAGCCCCUAUGCCGUUUUUUGCACCGACGGGUCUCCAACCAGCGGAGCCGAACGGACGGAUGCUCUAAGAGCAUGGUUAAUAGUAUAGCCAACUGCUGGCUAUAAGCAGUCUUAUAGCCCAUCUUAUAGCUAUCUUGUACAAUUGUUAUUUAUAAAAAAAUAAUGCUUUUAUCAUAUAUGACUCACCUUCCAUUCUCACAAAGCACCUAGGAGCAUGUGCUAGAGCUGGCUCUUUACGAAGAGCCCGCUUCCCUUCUCUCUCAUCUUCUCUCUCAUCCAACUCAACAAAAAUAUAGUAUUUUAAUCCUUACAGCAUGCUGACUGUACCUUAUUGUAUUUGGUCUAACAACCAGAAACGCACAAGAAGGCAUUUUGGCACCAUCCAGCCGGUGACGAAAAGGUCGCGGCGGGUUGGGUUCCGACUUCCGAGGUUACGCACCAACUGCUCCUUUUUCGUCUCGACACCCUGUGGCGAGGAGUCCUAGUAAUCUUUUGCUGCCGAUUGGCGCCGUGGAGUCUAGCUACCGGAAGUGGGUGGAGAAAGUCUCAAGCCCCCAGGCUGCGACGCAGACAUAAAGAGCCGACGAGGCAGCAGCAUUCCAGCCAACCAGCCCUGUCCCGCGGGUGUAGACUCGGGUAGAAGAAGAGGAGGAGGAUGGCACCGCCGCCACACGUGUGCGUGACCGGCGGCGGCGGGUUCAUCGCCUCGUGGCUCGUCAAGCUGCUCCUCUCCCGGGGCUACGCCGUCCACGCCACCGUCCGCGACCCAUGUACGUCUUCCCCUGGUAUUAUAUACACCCGGCCGGUGCUCCUCCAGCCAAGUUGGUAAUGGCGGGGUGCUGUUUCAGGUGAUCCGAAGAACGCCCAUCUGAUGCAGCUGGACGGGGCGGCCGAGAACCUGCGGCUGUUCAAGGCCGACGUGCUCGACCGCGCCGCGCUGGCCGCCGCCGUCGAGGGGUGCGAGGGCGUCUUCCAUCUCGCGUCCCCUGUGCCCGUCGAUAAGCUCGUCGAUCCAGAGGCAAGUACACAUCUGCCAAUUCACCGUGUGCGUCGUCGUACGAUUGUUGGUUCGCAAAAAUUUGCAUAAUUCCCACUAUUUCUUCGAUGGAGGAGAAGCCAACAUUAUCCUCCUGAACUUGUCCUAUGCAGGUUUCGUUUUAUAAACUUUAUUUAUUUAUUUGGUUUAGUUUAGACUCUAAAAUUUUAAGACAAUGACGGUUUUGUCCUACUCCCUCUGUGCGUGUACUAAAUCAGCGACACUAUUUUGGAAUUUAUUAAGCUGUGCUACAUCACGCAUCUAUAUCUAUACACUCUCUUUCAUGGCAUUUAUUUAUCUUUCUUUUGGCAGUUAAACCAUAUGUCAAUUUUAGAUGUAAGAUAGCCAUCUUGUUCACUGAGUUAUGCCCGAUUUACUAAAACAUGUUGUAUAAAUUUUAAACACGAACUUUGAACUAUUUUUUAACCUUAAAUAGCUUUAGCUAUAAUUGAACAAUAUUGGUUGCUUAAUUAUUCCCGAUUUAAUAAAAUUUCAAAUUAUUCUGUGUAGCUUGAAUUUUGAACUUAAAACUAAAACAUGAAGUUUCUCUCAAACCAUAUGUUAACUUUAUCUAAAGUUUUUUAUCAUAUUUAUAAUUGAAUUAUAAAUAAUCUUUAUACAAAAAAGAUCGAUUCACACGCAGUUUUAUUACUAUUUGAUUGGAGGCAAUUUUAUAGUUGAUGGAAGCAUGAGACUAAUGCUUUUUAAACAAGUGAUUUUUUUCAACAAUGCAUCAUCAUUCAAUUUGUGCUUCCACGUGAUUCAUUUGCAAAGCAAAAAAAACUUUAUACUAAAAGAUUGUUUUCUUGCCAAUUUUAUUACUAUUUUUGGAAGCAAUUUUAUAGUUGAUGGAAGCACCACAUUGAUAGUUGAUGGAAGCACCAAUUUUAUAGCAAUUCUAUAUACACUAUUUGGUUUUAAUCAAUUUUAUAGUUGAUGGAAGCACACAAACUUGUUAUAGAUAUUCAUAUUGUACGAUUAGUAAUAAUAACAAUAUUUUAUAUCCACCACAUACGUUAUACUAAAUACCAUACCACUUGGAAGAAAGGAUGAUUAUAUAUUACUCCAAAAUGCCAUUGGUUCCAUUAAAGAAAUCUAGUAGUGCAGAACAAACUAUCUUGCACGUAAAGUGUUUACCAUACAACCUAAUAUCAAGAGUAGUGCAUCAUUUGUUUUUUAUUAAAUUAAUGUUCACCAAACUCCCAAAAGUUAAAUAUUAAAUAUAUAUGCAUGAUGCUCACCUAAUACAUUGACCGAAAUAAGAUGGAGAUCGAUAAAAGGAAAAUUAAUAUACAAACGAAUAUCGGUUGUGGUGUCUUUUAAUAUAAUGAUAAAAUUUAACUAACAAAAGAAGGUUUUACAUGUGCUUUUACCGUAUUUUUUGUUUUUUAUCAUAAGUGAAAUGCUUGCGAGUGAAACUCACAUUCUCUCUUCUCUGUCCAAGUUAAGAAAGCAAUCACUCCUUCCGCUUCAAUGUAAUUAAAGUUCUAGAUUUGUCUGAAGUAAAAAAUUCAUUAAGUUUGACCAAGUCAAUAUGAAAGUAUAUUAACAUCUGCAUCCAAAUUUGAUUCAUUUGAUUCAUUAUUAUCAUGUUAUAUAUAUUUGAUAUAGUAGAUCUUUCUGUUUUUUCUAUUGACUUGGUCAAACUUUUAGAAAAUGACUUAGCACAAUCUUAGAUCUUCAAUUAUUUGAGAGUGGAGUAGGAACAUUUUAUGGCAUUAAUCAUGGUUGUAUAUUUGUACAUUUUGGUGCGGAAAUAUAAACUCGAACAAUCACCCUUCUCUAGAUCUCUGUAAAAAGUGGAAGCACAUGGUCAUAUGCCCCAAAACAAAUAUGGUCAUAUUUUGGAUACAAAAUAUCAUAAUAUUCAGAACUCGAUUGUACCCAAAAAAUAAAAUCAAUGGAAGUCUAUAGUAGUAUUCCCAUGCAAUGUUUGGAUAUUUUUCAUACUUUCCCAAAAGAAAACCAUGUGUUUAUUGAAAUAUAUUCACAAGUGCUUACGUCGAUGUUGCCCCAUCAUCUUACAUUCUAGGCAAAACAUUUGCAAAAAAUAAUAAUCAGUUAAGGACAAUGACACGCCUGAAGUUUAAACCACGGCAAGAAAAAUGCGAUAGUCAAUCGAGUGUCGUGCAUCUUGCUGUACAAAUAGGGAAAUAAAAAGGUGCCAUACAUUUUAUUCUGGUCUGAGAAACAAAUCAAACACCGUAUCUUCAUCAUUGCUUUAUUUAAUCCGACACCACGACUUUGUACAUAUACAUGUUGCUUGUCAUGAGCAAUCUGUAUCUUUUUUAUUUUCAUUUAGAACAAACCCAUGCGUUGCAACGGAAGAAAAAAAUGCUACACGUUCUUAAUUUAUAAAAAAUGAUCUAUAAUAUGAGAAUUUUUAGUUACGACACAAACAAAAGUGAAAUAGAUUCAAAAUCCAGCAACCACUCUGUAUGCAUAUCUGGCCGAUGUUAUGUACGCCCGACGCCGCUAUGCUCGCAUGCAUACUGUCGUACGUGAGUGAAAGAAAUCAAGAUGAACUAAUCCAGAGGGCAUUGGGGCAAAAAAAAUUGUUCACGGUCUAGUUAGUGGUAUACAAUCUGACAACCUAUCAUAGAUAGCUGGCCUCUUCCACAAAUAGUCCAUUUCAUCUUCUCCUCCCAAUUCCUAUCGCUUGAUUUGAAUCAGCUCAUAGAAGAAAAGAUAAACAAAAUGAGAAAACAAUUAAACAAAAAUCGCUUUGAUUUGAGUCAGCCUGAUAGAAGAAAAGAAGAAAAGGUAAACAAAAAGGGGAAAAAUAAACGAAAAUUGCUUGAUUUGAAUCAGACUGAUAGAAGAAAAGAAGAAAAGGUAAACAAAAAAAGGAAAAACAUAUUCUAGGACAGUAUUCGAACCCGGGUGUCCCAGGAAGAAGGGGCGCGCUCGAGCCAAUAUGCUAGGACAACUUAGUUGCCAAAUUGCGGUUCAACAUCUUAUAAACCAAUACAUGGCGGAGCGAUUUGUGAUAAAAACGAACCGUUUUCUUUUGACUUAUGGAUGGCAUAAUGGGUAAUUUUAAGCAACUUUAGGGGUAACAUUUAUGACGUACGACAGAAGCAUUAUAUUUGCUUUAUUAUGUAUAGCAAAUAUGCCCGUGCGUUGCAACGGGGGAAAUAUAUACUUUAUACGCUAGCCAAAUAAGCGUAACAUUUAUUUAAGGAUUGACUCUAUACCCUCACAUAUGAGCAUCCUCUGUUUUUAACAUAGUGACUCAUCAUGUUGCCACUUAACUUUUUCUCCCACCCUCGGUGAUGAUGGUCGCGAUGUUCACGUGAUGACAAUGCAUUCAACGCGCUAAAUCCAAGGGCUAUGAGCUUGCUACUGCAUGUCACAUUUGUCAUUAUGUUGCGUAAGGGAAUAUUUAUUUUUUUUGAAAUAAAUCUCACCGACCAUGAACUACUUCCAAUGUCUAGACAUAUAAAGGCUUUCGAAAUCCUAAUCAAAUCCUAGACAUAAAAGGCUUUGAAUCGGUGAUCAUUUUUUGAAUUGACAUUUUUCUCGAAAAUCAAUAACAUUUGUUUUGUGUAUGAACAUUUUCUGAAAUGCAAGAAAAGUUUUUUAAUUCAUGAGCAUUUUUUACUCAACAACCAUGUUAUGGAUCGCCAAAGUUUUUUUAAAAUUGGACAACACCUUUUUAAAAUUUGUGUUUUUUUACUUUUUUGUAAACAUUUUAAAAAAUUUGAUGGACACUUUUUGCAGAUUCCCGAAUAUUUUUUGUGUACAUAUUCUGAAAUUUAUUUUCUGUACGAACAUUUUUUGCCUUUUUGUUUUGUGUACGAACAUUUUGUGAAAUGCAUGAAAUUGUUUUGAAUUCAUGAGCAUUUUUUGACUCAGCAAACAUGUUUUGAAUCAUUUAAAUUUUUUUAAAAUGGGGGAACAAAUUUUAAAUUUUGUGUUUUUUUUACUUUUUGUAAACAUUUUAUAAAAUUUGAUGGACAUUUUUUGCAGAUUCCCGAACAAGUUUUGAACAAAUGAUCAUUUUUUUCGAAAUGAAGAACAUGAUUUUCUNNNNNNNNNNNNNNNNNNNNNNNNNNNNNNNNNNNNNNNNNNNNNNNNNNUUCCCUACUAUUUAUUUUUCAAAUUGUGUUUUUGUUUUGUAAUUUGCAAACAGUUUUACAAAUACACCAAUAUAUUUUGAAUCCAUGAAACUUCUAUAAUUUUCUUAAAAAAUCAAAUUCUCAUGCAUUUUAUAAUUUCUCGAACGUUUCUUUAAAACUCAUCAUAUUUGAAAUUUGAAAACCUUGAUUUAAAAUAAAGAAGGAAGAGAACAGAAUAAGAAAACAUAAAAAAAGAAAAGAAAAAAGAAAAUGAGAAAAAGACAACGGAGUGCAGAUGGGCUGGCCCGGCUCAUGAAGGCACACACAUAGGAGAAGGCGUUGUGUGAGAAAACAAAAAGAAUGUGCAAGAUGUUGGGAUCGAACCCUGGUCGCCUGGUUUGGAGUGUUAGGCCUCAGCUACUACAGCGCUAGUCCUUUGGUGUUGCUAUUGUAACAUCCUCAUGAAAUAAAGGACUACGCUGCGACUUUUUGGAAAAAAAAAAUCAAAGAGUUUCCGUUACUUAUGGAUGGCGCAGUGUGUAAUUUAUGUCAACUUUAGGAAUAAUAUUAAUUACGGACGACAGAAGCACUAAUUGCUUUAUUAGUAGGUGAAGAUAAAGAUAAAGAUUUAGAACAAAAACUGAGCGCUUUGGUCCUUUAGAAAAAACGAGUACUUUGGAUCUGCUCGCUCUAGCGAUCCCAAUUGGGAUGCAGGUCGCGCACUAGCGACCGAUUGAGAGUUUGGCCGGCCCAUUUUAGUGUUUAUUCCCAUAGUUUCAGGAAGGUUCUAGAAACUUCUCUGAACCUCUUUUUUAUUUAUCUUCCAGUUUUUUCUUUAUUCUUAUUUUACAUUUUUGUAUUUUAAUUUUACGAUUAUUUUUAUUUUAUAUUUUUAUUUUCUUUUUUGCGAACAACUUUCAAGUUUGUAAAAACAAUUCGAAAUUCAUGAACAUCUUAUUAAAUCAUUAAAAAAAUGCAAAACCACAAAUAUUUUUUUGCAAAUUUCCAGAUAUGUUUAAAAUCAUGGACAUAUUCCUGAUUCAUGUACUUCUUACAAAUUUACGAACAUUGACUUUGUUUUGAAUCAGCAAACAUCUUUUGAAAAGUGUAAAUGUUAUUUGAAUUUAAUGAAAAUUUUGUUUCAAUUUUUUGAUCACUUCUCCAAAUUUAUGAGUUUUUAAAAUAAUAACUAUUUUCUGAAUUCAAGAACAUUAUUUGGAGUCCGUGAAAAUUUAAUCUAAAUCAUGAACAAUUUUGGAUUUCCUGGCCCAUAUUGCGCCUAAUAGGAGACCUCGCUCGCUCUCCCCUGUCUUGACUCCUCGAUAAAUAAAUAAAAAGCCCACCACCGGGCCUUGAAGUGAUAACUACCUACGCUGAACAUUUCUAUAAUUUGGGUCCACCAUGUGAUGUUAGGUAGAUUAAGAUCACAGUUUCAUAAAUUUAGAAGUUUCUACAGAUUGAGAGCAGGUAUGAUCUGACUAUUGUCAGAUUUUCUAGCAUAUCUCUCGAUUUUUCCUUUGUAUUGUGUGUUUAGUAUAUACUCCAUCCGUUUCAUAUUACGUGGCACUCAAACGAAUCUAUCUAGACCAUAUUAAUUGUUACUCAAAUAGAUAUAUCUAGAAAGUCUAGAUACAUUCAUCUUAUUUGGGUGACAAUUAAUAUGGGACAGAGGAAGUAAUUGAUAAUUGAUAGAGAUAGAUAGACUCUUAGAAAAAGUGACUUUGUGUUUUUUGAGACGAUUACAAAUGUAGUUGGAAUUGUAAAAUCUUUGAUGGUAUGAUUCUAAUCUUAUCCCAAUUUUAAUUGUGCAGUCAGAAGUAAUUGCACCUACUGUGAAGGGCACCUCAAAUAUUUUAGAAGUUUGUUCAACUAUGAAGGUCCGGAAAGUUGUUGUGGUUGCAUCCACUGCUUCUGUCCAUUUCAACCCGAACUGGCCUCAGGAUAAAUCCAAAGAUGAGAGUUGUUGGUCGGACAAAAAUGUGUGCAUGGAAAAUGAGGUUAGUAUGUUUGAAGUUAUAAGAAUCAAUAUAACGUCGGUUGCAACGUGCAUUGCGAUGUAAGAAGCCUAUUAUGCAAGAGUAGAAAAACACACAUGAACCUUCCAUGUCGCACGCACGGGAUAUACUUUUCAUCUGAACUCUGAAGACACAUAGUGAUAAUAAUGAGGAGUGUAUUCGAUCACCCAUAUUAGAAAUCUCAAGGUUUUCUUCCCUUGAUCUCCACUGACGAGGUGUCUACGUGUCGCUCUAGCACUUGUGGUGGGGAGUGCAAUUCUCGUGCCGCGGCUCCGAGUAACAGAUAGGUUAGGGUUCUAUUCCUCGCAGGAGUGAUUCUUGGAUGGAUGUCGACGAUUCUUCUUCAAGUCAGUUUUCCGGUCUAUGAUCCUCCUCAAUUUCGACAGUCGAAACAAAUUAGAUUGAGCUCUAGUGUAGAUUCCUGUCAGAUCCUUGUGGCGACGAGGUUAGGGUUUUUUGUUGCACGUACAUAACGACGAGAUUUGGUGUGAGGUUCUUCGUAUGGAUUCAAAGGUUCAACGACGAUGGUUGUGGCUCCAAGGCGCUGGUCCUGAGGGCAGGUUGAGGAGUGGCACUUGGACGGAUGUCGACGAUUCUUCUUCAAGUCGGUAUUCCGAGCUCCGAUACUCUUCGAUUACGCCCAUCCAAACAAAUUAGAUUGAGCUCUGGUGUAGAUUCCUGCCAGCCCCUUGGGGCGAUAAGGUUAAGGUUUCUCACCGCGCGUACAGAAUGAUGAGAUCUGCUGUCAAGUUUUUCGGAUGGAUUCAAAGGUUCAACGGCAACGAUUGCUGCUCUGAGUCACUGGUCUUUAAUUAGGGCACGUGCACGAAGACUUCCGGUUGUCGACAAGAUCAUACUUGCUCCGGUAUGGGAGCGGUGAGCAACAUGUCGGCGGCUCAUUCUGGCGGCAGCCGACAUCAAUGGUCAUUUGGUGGUUGUGUCAUUUGGUGGUUGUGUCGUGUAAUAUUCCUGUCGUAUUUCAAGUUCUCUUCGCUAGUCUGAGGGCUAAGUUCAACUCUUUACAAUUUUGGUUGGCAGCUUUGGUACUUCCUUGCAAAAACUGUUGCUGAAGAGACAACCUGGGAAUAUGCAGAAAAGAAUGGGCUAGACAUCGUUACAGUAUGCCCUUGUAUUGUUUUUGGUCCACAACUACAACCUGUUGUCAAUACCACCAGCGAACUUCUUCUCUAUGUUAUAAAAGGUCACCUCAUCAACUCCUAUUCUUAUUCAAUUUUCUUGUAGUAACAUCAAUUAUAUCUGACAAACAUGUCAUAUAGAUAGUGUUAUGGAGUGGCUCAGUCGUCCGUUAGAAUUUUGAAGGGAAAAAACAUGAAAAAUCUUACGGUGCGUCUUCGAAGAACUACUUAUCUCGUGUUGUCUCCUGAUUUUUUGUCAAUUUCAUCGCAGGAGGUCCUAAUGCGAUGAACGACGUGAUGUUGGAGAUAGUCGAUGUCCGUGAUGUAGCCGAUGCUUUGCUUCUGGUAUACGAGAAACCAGAAUCAUCUGGAAGAUAUAUCAGCGCAUCAAAUUACAUUACCACAAAAGCCAUGGUGGAAAUGCUAAGGAAGGCGCACCCCAACUACAAUUACGUGAAGUGGUGGGUCUCUUAACAUGCGAUUCUUUGUAUGCAGCAAAUGGCACGUACUGCUUUCUGAACAUAACUGCUUUGUUUCCAUGGUUUGAACUGCUUUCUUUGUUUUCAUUGUUUGAACUACUCUCUUUGUUUUCUGCAGCAAGACUGAUGUGGAACAUAGCUCUCCCAUCACACCGACCUCGUCGGAAAAAUUGAGAAAUAUGGGUUGGAAGCCAAGGAAAUUGGAGGAGACGCUCCUGGAUAGCGUCGAAUACUACCAGAAGACGGGGCUUCUGCAGGAUGCCGAGGGAGAGGGAUACCCAUGCCACCUUCCUGAAAUGUUCAGCUUUUUUCAUGCCGACGAGUAAUAAAAUCGAGUGUGGUAGUGGUGGGUGCCGGUGCUCGUACAUAUGCCAUUGUGCUUGUGAAAAUGUCGAAUGGUACGUAUCUCCGGUGACCAUCCCAGGAGACAGGAGUGGAAGUGGUUAGACGAUGGUGCCCUCAAUGUAAAAUAUUCGAUUUCGUAAAUGUUUAUAUGUUUUAAGUGAGCUUGGUCAAAUAUUAAACAAGUUUGACCUUGGAAAUAAUUAAGUUGGAAAGGAGGGGG
Molecule: long non-coding RNA, 55583 nt
Filed under: Hordeum vulgare
Lineage: Eukaryota; Viridiplantae; Streptophyta; Magnoliopsida; Poales; Poaceae
Description: long non-coding RNA (HVUL_LNC013435)
Rfam family: MIR1120/MIR1122 microRNA precursor family (bases 33504-33629)
Source: RNAcentral